This 60565-nucleotide long non-coding RNA is filed under the name Fragaria vesca (wild strawberry). Its description in RNAcentral is "long non-coding RNA (FVES_LNC000311)". Lineage: Eukaryota; Viridiplantae; Streptophyta; Magnoliopsida; Rosales; Rosaceae. The record is from RNAcentral.
UUGCCUUUUUAUUUUUAUUUUUUUUAUUUAUAACUUUUUUUAUUAUAAACUCACGCACCCUACAUACGUCGGUGAGGUUUGAAUCUAUGACCUCAACAUUGUUGGUUAGCCUACCUAACCAACCAAGCCACAGCUUACCGACCUGGCGACGUUGCCUUUGAGUAUACGAAUCUUACUUUGACUCAAGUUUGGUUUACGGUUUACCAAGAUUUUGUUGUUAGGGAAAGUUUAUGCGUUUGGAAAUUAUCUCAUUGCUAACUAGCGCUGUUACGUUAAAUGAAUUGAAGAGCUUUAUAUUUGUUAGAGUUAGUGGUGUUAAAGUUGUAACUAUAUAGAAAAGUCAUCUGUACGAAUCUGUUGAUACCCAAAAAAUCAAUAUUUAUGCUCAAUAGAUAUUCCAAGCUCAAUAAAGAAAUACGCAUGAAAAUCACAUUCGAAAUAAAAAAAAUUAUAUAUUUAUUCGAAUAUUCAUGCCACGCACGGGGACUCAAGCCACAACCACGUUUUUGGGGCUUACAAAUUUAGGUGUGGUGUGGAAGGUAACAGAAGUACACGAAGUCCAUUAUAGAUGUUACAUCAUUGGCGGUUUUGGACUUGGGACCGAAACCCAGGCCUAAUAAUGUAAAUAUUUAUAUGGGCAUGCAAAAAAGAGAGAAUCCUUAAUGCAGUAGAUUACACCGCAACAGACCUUUAGCCGCAGCAAGCCUCUCAUCUUUUGCAACUCAUGUGCUUCCAGCUCCCACGCUUUAUGCCUUCUUGCAAGCUCUUUCAUGUAUUUUGUUUAUUUGUCAUGUUAUCAAAAUCACGCCAAGUUACUGCCAAUAUAUCACAAGAAGCAUGCCACUGCAGCAAGUUACUGCAGGGAGACCGGGGAAAACACGCACAAACCUCCUAGAAGCUUUGGGCCCAGUUCUUGAACUUAGAGGGGUAAAUAGAGGAGAUCAAUCUAAUCUAUCAAUCCUAGCGGUCUCGGUUCAAAAUGACCCCAACAAAAUCGUACUAAAUCAGGAAGUGAUUGGGGAAUUGAAGCCAAAUACAAGGACAAUAUCAAUGUUAUAGAAUCAUUGUUGCAAUUGUGCCAUUCACUGUGUCAUUUUUUGUACCACAUAGUCCCUACAACAAUUCUAGUGAAUGUAAGAAUGAUAUUGGUAUUAUGAAGGCUGAUGGGCUAUGUCAUUUUGCUUGCAGGUGAUCUUCCUGUGGUGAUAUCAUGUGCUAGUCUUGCACUAAAGCAGAUGCAGGGAUCAUGAUGUAUGACCUUGUUGCUUCAGUAUCUGUGGUAUGUAUCUGGGUAGACAUCUGGCCCUUUCAACUUCCUCAUAAUUAAGCAAAAAACAAUAUGUUGUUGCUGACUGUCCUAUUGUAUUUCUUUGUAUAGGAUUAAGAAUUUGAACUUGAGCACAUAUGAAAUAAUGGAAGUGUGAUGGCUGAUUGUCGUAUUAUUUUAUUUUUCUUUGUUUUUUGUUCGGUUAUUCAGUUAAAUACCAUUAUACAAAACUUUUGUUAAGCUGUAUCCUUUCUGUUUCAUCCGAUUAGCUAGUACUGUAAAUUACUUUUGUUAAGCUAUAUCCCUUUUGUUUCAUCCGUUAUAUAGAAUUAUAUCCACUGAAAUACCUUCAUUUUUAUGAAACAAUGUAUUGUAUUCGAUGAGAACAGAAGAGAGAAAAGAAGAGCAUUAGGUAUGCAUCAAGCUCUUCUCUGAGCAUUUGUUUGGUUACACAAAAUUUUCACUGUCGGAUACAUUUCGCAAAAAUCUUCCUAGUCUCCACUUGCCUUCUAGAUCCCUUCCCUGCCGAGAUUUCCCUUCACCGCAUAGAUUUCCCUUCGUCAUUGCGCUCUUAAUCAGAGCCUACACUACCAGGACAAGCACUUUAGCCGACGAAAAAUUUUCGUCGGCUUGUUAGCUUAAUUCGUCGGCUAAGAUUUCGUCGGGAAAAGGUCGUCUGUGACGACUUUAGCCGACGAAAAAAAAUUUUCGUCGGCUAUAGUCCCGCAGUUUAUCCGACGAAAAACAUGUCGUCGGUUUUUUUCCCAGACUUUAGCCGACGAAACAAUUAAGAUAUUCGUCGGCUAAAGUUUGUAAAAAAANNNNNNNNNNNNNNNNNNNNUUUUUGGAGCUCGAUUUUAUCUCUCACGGCGGCGUCACUCGAUGCACCACCUGUCCAGCAAUGAAGUAGAGACGACGGCGAAGCUUUUGGGACAAGUGUGGCGGUCUCCGGUGGCUUGACGGCGGAGCUAGGCCGAGAAAAAAAUCUAGUAGGCGAAAUAGACUUCUUACCAUCCAUCUUCGGUAAAACUCCUAUAUAAAGAACUUUAGCCGACGAAAUUCUUUAUUUUCGUCGGCUAAACUCUUUUGAAACUUUUGAAAAUUUUGAAAAUUUUGGUUGACCGCCAAAAAAUUUUGAAAAUUUUUCAACUUUAGCCGACGACUUUUCAUAUAUUUUCGUCGGCUAAAGUCCUUUGAAAAUUUUCCUCCAAAUUUGGUUUACCGCCCAAAAUUUUUUGACCUUAGCUGACGACUUUUUUAAUAUCUCGUCGGCUAAAGUCUAUAAAUUCACAAAAACGCUCAUAUCUCCCUCUAUAUUACGUAGUUUGGUCAAACCUUCCACACGAAAAACUUUCACAUAGAUGAGACGCACCGCCUAUAUAAAAAUUUUGAGACAUUUGUCUUCCGACGAUAGGGCUCCCCAUAGGGAAUAAUAACGGUAAAUAGGGUUGACCGCUACUAUCGGCACCGAGAUUUUACCCGAUUUACGUGAUUUUUGAACCAUAGCCGUAUUUCACCAUUCUGAACACAUCUUAUUUCACGAGAUUUUUGAUAAUUUUGCUUCCUAUACAGAGUUGGUUCACAAAGUUGUAUAACCAACUAAACAAGUUAUACAACAUUAGUAGACACGUUGUGAUUCCGAUGACUAAAAUUCACAAACCAAAAUUCGACCGUCAGAUAUGAUCAUUAUGACGAAAGAUGUUUAUGGUAAAAAAUUUAACUGGAUCCGACAACGUUAAGGACUCGAUCGAAACGGUUAACCCUAAUCCAUCGUCACUUAUCACACGAAAACGCUCAUAUCUCCCUCUAUAUUACGUGGUUUGGUCAAACCUUCCACACAAAAAGCUCUCACGUAGAUGAGGCGCAACUGCCCAUAUAAAAAUUUUGAGACAUUUACCUUCCGACGAUAGGGCUCCCCAUAGGGAAUAAUAACGGUAAAUAGUAGACACGUGAUUCGGAUGACUAAAAUUUACAAACCAAAAUUCGACUGUCCGAUAUGAUCAUUAUGACGAAAGAUGUCUAUGGUAAAAAAUUCAACUGGAUUCGACAACGUUAAGGGCUCGAUCGAAACGGUCAACUCUAAUCGGAAAUUAGAAAACUGCAUUUUGAAGCCCUAAACGGACUCGGAUGGCCAAAAAGGCCCAUACAUCAUGGCGUUAGAAAUGAGUUUGACUCGUAGGGCCGUUACGCUUCCGGUAAGGUAUCACAAUAGUCAAUCGGACACCAAAAACCAAAUCUGCAGCAUAAUGAAUAAUAAGAGUAAAUUACAUUGACCGCAACUAUCGGCACCGAGACUUUACCGGAAUACUGUGAUUUUUCAACUGUAGACGUAUUUCACCAUUCUGGUCAUAUCUUAUUUCACGACUUUUUUGUGUUUGAAGGUUUUACGUAUAGUUUUUUUUUUCCAGAUGAGUUGUUGUCCAGAUCUGUAAAUAUAAGGCACUUUAGCAGAUGAAAUUAAGGCACUUUAGUCGACGAAAUUAUAUUUUUCGUCGGCUAAACUUUUAAAAAUUUAGUCGGCUAAAGUUCACAGACUAUAGUCGACGAAAAAAAUUAUUCAGACGACGAAAUUUUAAUUUUGUUGGCUAAAGUUGACCAUAGCCGACGAAAAUUUUUAAUUAGCCGACGAAGGGAAAUUUCGUCGGCUAAAGUCUACUUUAGCCGACGAAAAAAUAAUUCGUCGACCUGGUUUUUUUAUUUUCGUCGGCUAAAGUCUUUCUUCUGGUAGUGCUAGGUUUUGUGCUCUAAAUAUGAAACAAAAUUGAGAGAGAGAGAGAGAGAGAGAGAGAGAGAGAGAGAGAGAGAGAGAGAUCACAUUUGUUUGAAAUUUCUGAUAUUUGUAAGAGUACUUCUUUCAUUAGGUUUUGGACGAGCUGACGGCUCGUGACUAUUAGUUGGCCGUAUAUGCUACGAAAAUUGUCUUACUAGUGGUAAAAACACCUAAUAAAAAAAGUCCUUAAAAAUUAAAAAGAAACUUAUUUAAAAAUUUAGACCCUCAUAAUUGCAAACCACACAUAGAUGUGAACUUGUGCGAUUAAUCCAUCAUCACAAUCAUGUAAUCUUUGAUAAAAGCAGUCUUCUAAUCCUUAUGUUUCGGUCAGCUGCCUAUGCUUAUGAUUGAUGAGUUGGACAGAGCCUUAGACAAAUUAACAUUAGUGAAAAGCCAUUGCACGUAUGUGUGUACAAAUUAAAACUAAAAGAUCGAUAUACUUGAAUACUCUCAAGAAUCGAAAACGUAAAAUGCAAUAGAAAUGUUAUUAAUUAUUUCGAUCUUACCACAACAUACAUUGCAUAACAAUGAAAAUUCAUAGCAGUUUGGGUAACUUGUCGAGGAUACCGAUGAAAACAAAAUCUUUCCAAUAUCAUUUUAUGUUAUAUUAUUGAAACAUAAAAUGAGUGUGGUCUGUAAUUAUAUAGAGCCCUCGUAAAUUCGUAAUUAUUGGAGCGUAAAUUCAAGUAUCCCUUUUAAAACGUUUUGGGAAAUUUCAUAGAGAAAAAAAAAAAAAGUCGCAAGUACAAGAAAUUGAAAGAAAGGAGGGAAGGAAGAAAAAGUCAUGGGGAGCGCAAAACGAGUCUAUCCAACUGCCAUCAAAACAACGAGGUGGAGCUGGCCCACAGGUUUGAACGGUCAAACAAGACUGUUGAAAGUUGAAAAUCCAGACAUAAAUUUUUUGGGCUCUUGUGUUUUGAGUUUUUGACUCUCUCUCUCUCUCUCUCUUCUUCAGACAAAACCAACCCAACCGGCAACCCCAACCCUCUUGUAAUCUCUCCUCCACAUUUCAAUUCCAAUCCCUCUCUCCCCUCUCUCUGUCUCUCCUUGUUCGUUCAACUACUGGAAUCACCUUUGACGCUUUCUCCCAUUCAUCUCUGAUCAACGGCUCAUGACACACCGUCACGGCCACGCUUUCAUUUCCACAAACCACCUGUGACCCGAUCGGUAUGUCUCGAUCUCACGCUUUCUUUUCGUUUUGUUCGUUUUACUUUUCCGGCCACCGCUUACGUGUUUUUUCUUUCCGAUUGUGCUGAAUACUUUCACUCUUCAUAUGUAUUGUAUAUACAUUUUUGAUAAUUGAAUUUUUUCUUCUGCUUGUGUCAUGAUUGGUUACCAUUAAGGAUUAUUUGAAACAUAUUUUUGCUGCUUCUGUUUGAUUUCUCGGAAGUCGCUGCGCGUGUUUUGUGCUUGCUCAGUUUUCAUGAGUUCUAAUUUUUCAUUUAAUAUAUGUUGUUUUAAUUGCACCUUUUGUUGUCCACUACGCUCCCGGAGGAUUCGAUAAGUCUUCAAUCUAACCCUUCAUUUUUAGCACUAUUGAACUAUGACUUUCUCUUGAAACAAUUUUGUAUUAGAUAUUUUUUCUGGUGUUAAGAAUCUUUUUGUGUAAUGUUCAUACAACUUGAAUGUUGUUCCAUCUUGGUUUAUGUAUAUUUGACGAUGGCAAGUUGUAUCAUGUUGUUAUGUAUCAUUUUGGUUUAAAGGAGUUCCUGUUGUUUAAUGCUAAUAUGUUCAUAUGUUUUCUGUUGGUCACUAGGUCAGCCAUUGAUUUUUUUAAUUGAGGCGACAAAAGGAAUCUAGAAGACAAGUAUCUCAGUUCUUGAUUGUGCUCAUGGCCUCUGUAAGUGUGGCUCCUGCAUCUGGAUUAAGAGACCGCAGUGGAAAUACAGUUGCUCUCGACAGUUUGCCGAAUGAGAUGAAUGACAUGAAAAUUAGGGAUGACAAGGUUAGCAAUUCCCACUCAUUAUUCUGCCUCAAUAUUUGUCAUUGGAAUGUUUCUUUUGAAUAAAGUCUCCUCCUAGAUUGUGAAAUCUGAAAGUAAUGUUUUUCUUUUGACAGGAAAUGGAAGGAACUGUUGUUAAUGGUAAUAGUACCGAAACAGGUCAUAUAAUUGUCACAACUAUUGGUGGAAGAAAUGGCCUGCUGAAACAGGUGACUUUUUUGUAUGAUUUCUGUUCGUAGCUUAUGUACAGAUGCCUUUUGUUCUGUUUACUUAAAUUGAUUCUGGUAUACUUUCCUUUUCGAUGACUGUAGACAAUAAGCUAUAUGGCUGAGCGUGCUGUUGGACAUGGAUCUUUUGGAUUGGUUUUCCAGGUAAUUUUUUAAUUACAGUGGUGUGGAUUAGUUUAAUUUCAGUGACCUGUGUGAAUUGUUUCCUAACUUAGAUUUCAUUAUCAAAAUUCACCUCGUGAAAUUGCUAUUGUAAUGUUUUUAUCCAGGCCAAGUGUUUAGAAACUGGAGAAACUGUUGCUAUUAAAAAGGUUCUUCAAGACAAAAGGUACAAGAAUCGGGAGUUGCAAACCAUGCGUCUUCUAGACCACCCCAACAUUGUGUCUCUUAAACAUUGUUUCUUUUCCACAACUGAAAAGGAUGAGUUAUACCUUAACCUUGUUCUUGAGUAUGUCCCUGAGACUGUCCAUAGAGUGAUCAAACAUUAUAGUAAGAUGAACCAGAGGAUGCCGCUGAUUUAUGUUAAACUCUAUUCUUACCAGGUAUGCUUUUGCACAAGUUUAAAUUGUUUUAUGCCCUUCUCAAAAAAGAAGAAAAUUAAAGAAAAAAGAAUGAAGAGAAAUGUCUAUGGAAUACACAUUAUAUGAAUUUAGAGUGUUUUUUACUCUUUCUUUCUUUUUUUUUUUCAAAUGUUUUGUUGAACAUAGUAAAUACAAAAUAUGUUUAAUGGAAUUGGUAAUGCGCUUAAUGAAAAUGGAUAUUACUCUGGCAUUUUAUUAGCUGUUAAAUCUUGUUAUUAAUGUGCUGUUACAGAUUUGUAGAGCACUUGCUUACAUUCACAACACUAUUGGAUUGUGCCAUAGAGACAUAAAGCCUCAGAAUUUGUUGGUAAGUUGAUAUUAGUGAUGUAUUAUACCUUAAUUUUAUGUGAAAUGCAUAAACAAGUCAAUUGAUCAUCUAUCCACAUUCCCACAGGUCAAUCCACAUACUCACCAGCUUAAAAUCUGCGACUUUGGUAGUGCAAAAAUCUUGGUUUGUUUUCUGCACUGAGGCAUUUUCUGAAUAUUCUCUUAUUCUGGCUAAUUGUCAUUACACUGAAUUGGAUGUACAUGUGACAGGUAAAGGGGGAACCCAAUAUUUCUUACAUAUGUUCAAGAUACUAUCGAGCACCUGAACUUAUAUUUGGUGCAACAGAGUAUACCACAGCCAUUGACAUCUGGUCUGCUGGAUGUGUUCUCGCUGAACUUCUCCUCGGACAGGUUGGAGUUGUUCUCCUUUUAAGCUAAUUUGUUCUUUCAUUCGACUCAUUGAUGUAAAAUAUGGUAUGCUAAUUAUGAGUUACCUGUUUGUUCCAGCCUCUAUUUCCUGGGGAAAGUGGAGUAGACCAGCUUGUUGAAAUCAUUAAGGUAAUUUAGAGCUUUGAAUUAAUUAUCUCCAUUUUAAAGUCUGUUAGAGAAUGGAUGAUAGGAAAGUGAUUUAAUUGUUAUUCUCAUAACGAUUUAUCCUACUGUUUUGUAGGUUUUAGGCACACCAACGAGGGAGGAAAUUAAAUGCAUGAACCCUAAUUAUACAGAAUUUAAAUUCCCCCAAAUUAAAGCUCAUCCAUGGCACAAGGUACUUGGACUGUCACAUGUGGUUUAUUUAGUUCCAAGAAAUUUGCAUGAUAAUAUUCUUUUUAUAUAAUUAUUCACCAGAUAUUCCACAAGCGCAUGCCCGCUGAAGCCGUGGAUCUCGUAUCAAGGCUACUUCAGUACUCUCCAAACCUCAGAAGUACAGCUGUGAGUACUUUUUAUCAUAUCCAUGAUUUUAGGCUGUAUAUAUUUGAACUCAUUUUAUAUCUCCAAAGGUUUCAGUAUAUCCAAAGAUAAAAGAAAAGAAUGAACAUUAUAGCUCUAUGUCUGACAAAAGCCAGUUGUUUUAGGUUGUGUUAUAUCCUCAAAUUAUGAAAUGCCCAUUGUUUCUAUUUUGCAUGUGCAAUCCCAUGUGUAGUUGAUUAUAUCAUUAUUUGUCUGUUCUAAAUUAUCUAUGGUGUUUACGAGGAGCAUGUGCCUUUGAGAUUAGUUUUGAUAAGAAACCAGUUUUAGUGAGCUUGAGCCUUGCAUGGUACUUUGUGUGCUCAAAUCUUGUGUUCAAUGUUUUUUUUUUUUUUUUUUUUUUUUUUUUUUGGAGGCCUUGGUUCAUCCCUUCUUUGAUGAGUUACGGGACCCUAAUACCCGCCUGCCAAAUGGACGUUUCCUUCCCCCACUGUUUAAUUUCAAGGCUCAUGGUAAUAAUCAUUAUAGAAACUGUGAUUUUCGACAUUGAUUUUAUUGGAUGAGAUGUUUAAGCCUAGUUUGUAACUUUUGUUGGUGCUCUAUUCUCAUUCACUAGAACUCAAGGGAGUACCUGCAGAGAUGAUUGUCAAGCUGAUCCCAGACCAUGCAAGAAAACAGUGUGCCUUCCUUACGUCGUGAGUGUUCUUUACUUGAUGUUUUCCCUGCCCAGAUGAAAAACAAGGUCUGCUCUCCGUAAUGUGAUUGUCAUAUAUAAGAAGCAAUAUUAUUUAAAUCCUUCAUUUGUUCCCUUUAUUUGUUGUUUGUAGAGGUAGAAAGCCAAAUUAAGAAGGCUCUGCUUAUCAGAUGCUUUAAAUCUCACUGUGUUUACCUAUGUAGGAUUCCAAGUUAAAGUCCUUGUAAACCACAUGAGCACUGUUACCAGCAAAAUGUAAAUUUGCAAUGUUAACGGAUUUAAUGAAAAAUGUUUUCUUUGUGGAAAAAUGUUCAGAUGUGUUUCGUAUGAUUGUGUAUAUUUGAUCUAAUGUUCAGGUAUGUCAACAGUUGUUGCUUUAUAAAUUCAUAAACAUGAAAAUGGAUGGAAACAGUAAAGAAAGAUAUUAGGGUAGCCGCGGAUGAUGUUAGGUGAAAUUACAGUUAUUCCAUUACCUUAUUCAUGAAAAGAGAAUUUUAGGUUGACUUGCUGUUGUAAAGAUUGGUAAUGUUGGAGAAAUUGUAUGGUAAUUGUGAGGGAAAAUGAAUUUCUUGGGCAUAUACCCACUUUUUCUCCUCUUUAGAGAAAUUUGUUCAUCUUGUUGUGUUGUUAGCAAGGAUUGAAAUAUCGGUAUCGGUAUAUUUAUCGAAUAUAUCGAAGAUAUCCGGCAAAAAAUAUUGAAAAUUAGGGAAUACAUUUUUUUUUUCUGAAAUUUAUUAGAUUUACAUAUAAAUAUUACAAAAUUACAAACAUCAACUUUAUCUACAUCUAAAAAAAGACUCUAGAUGGUUGAAAAGACGCACUAUGGUCUCUCACUCCACAUCCAGAUAUCCCUUGAGGGGAAUAUUCAUUUUCCAGAAAUCACUUGAGAGUCGUGACCCUCAUUCUUCAUUGUGAUAAUGUGAUAUACCUCAGCGGAAUUACUUCUCUCAUUUUUGGAGGUGAUUUUCUUUUAUGCCCAAAAAUUUUACAGAUAUCUUUUUGAUAUGUAUCGGAGAUAUAUCGUAAAUAUCUUAAAUAUUGGAAAUAUUUGACGGAAUCGAUGAUAUAUCGGAGAUACGGUGGAAUAUAAGAUAUUUACAUCUCUAGAUAUAUAUAUCGAGAGAUAUAUCGGAUAUAUCACAGAGAUGUCAAUACGGUGGAAUACAAGUGUAAGCACCAACCACAUCCGUGAAUCAAACAUGUCAUACUGUCAUAGUGCAUGGAACUUAGCCUUUCGGGUUCAUGUAUCGUACAUGUGAGAUUUCAUAGUCAAAAGAUACUGAUUUCUUAGAGAUCAGCAUAAGAUUCAAGACAAAUCAUUUAUCAGAUAUCCAAGUGUAGUAUUUAGGUUUUUUUUUGACUGGAAGUGUAGUGUUUAGGUUAUUAUUUUUCUGCAACACAUGUUUUGAAAUGCUGGAAUUUGGUCUCUUAGUUGGUUAAAUUUUAUUUGUGACAAGGAUUUGGUAUGUUGGUUGGUAAAAUUAGAACAAAUGGAACCAUGGCAUGAAGGAAUCAAUAACAAAUUCACUAAAUUGGGACUUUGGGAAAGGAGGCUGUCUAAUGGGGCGGCCGGCUGGGGAUGACCAAAUGAAGCAGACUUACAAUAGUCGGCCAUAUUUUAUCACUUAGAGCAAAUCUUUGAUGAACUCAGCUUUGUAAAAUUGUAAUUGCUUUUGUAUGAUAGACCGCCCCACACAGAGUUGUAAACUAAAGUUGUUACCCCAUUUCUCAUUUUUGCUUUGGACCACCGAAUCAUUUGAAUCAUUUCAGGGAUAUAUAUUUCAGGUAGAAAGAAGAUAAGAAGCUGAAGAGAAUCCCAAACCACAAACAGUGACCUACACCAUUUUUGGUCGACGGAGGAGCUACCCGAGUGGACAUCACAGAUUCACAAGGACGGUAACUUAUCAGCCUAGUCACCGCCACUACAAUAUUGUCGUUGAAAGUUUAAAUUUCUCACUUAAUUAAAAAUGCGACAACUUUGAAUUGUCGCAGCCGGUUGUGCUUAAAGUGUUUUACCGAUUGUUAAAAGCGACGAAAUUAGAUGGUUUUUGUAUUUUCAAUAUACCAUGCAAUUGGUUCCUAUCAUAUGACAUAUUGCGAGACACGUAAGUGUGUUCCCACAAGUCAUAUACAAGACUUCAUAGUUGUUACAAUUUGUAAUUUACAAGGUUUUGUUUGCGUCACAUAUUUAAACUGCGAGGUGUUUGUUGCAUGUUCAAUAUGUGACGUAAUUGGUUCCUCACAUAUAUUGAUAUAUAUAGACAACAUGUAAUUCACCAAGAGACAAGCCGAUCCGCCACCUAGAUUGACAAUGCGACGCCACAAACACACAAGCUGAGACAAGAUCUCAUCAACAUAAGCCACCGACUAAGAACGGGGUUCCAAUUCCGGAUUCAGCCAAGCACAGACAGGGAAAAAGGAAUCCCGUUUACAAGCUUUUCUCGGUAGGGUAGGAAGUGACAAUGUAAUGAACGAAGCCAAUGCCUUUUGGGAUGUCUAAAUCCCCAGGCUAGCUAGCCUUAAGGGCGGGAUAUGCGUUCGUGAAAUCCAAUCAACGAAAUAAUUUGAUCUUUAGACCGCAUCCAGCACCUUCUUUGGACUUUUCCUCCUCAUUCCGCCUAAAAUCCACCCUUUUCAGCUGAUAGGUUCGACUAAAUACUCCUCCCGAUUUCUGUUUCCAAGCACCAAACUUGCCCAUCAAGAUAACAUCUCUUUCGACCACACCCAGUAGACACCAGUAAGGCCAGAAGCCUAUAUCGGCAUCGUGGUGCAGCCGGACAGGUGCGAAUGAGACUAGCGACAACGUUUAGAUUUACGCGCGCGGGAGCGCGUUCUAGAGAAUGACAUGCACUUUUGCUCAUAUGUAACCUACACUGUUUGUUUUGCUUAAUGAAUCCUUGAAUCUCUUAAUUGGGGCGUAUAGCCUAUAUUCAUUUUUCACACAUUCGGAUAAUCGCCAUAAUGUAAAGGGCAAAUCUAAGCUUCUUAGAUUUAGUAUUUGCCUUAUUUAGUGUAUUUAAUAUAUUGAUCGUUUGUUGAGAUUCGUAACUGUGAAUUUGUUUAGGUAUUGAAGUUUCAAUUAUUGUGAUUUCUUUCUGAAUGAAAUAAAAGAACUCGGGAACGUCAAUCUCUUUAGUAAUGAUUCAAUGCGUUUUCAAACUUUUGAUUUUCCACUACUACUUCUGUUAAUUAAUCUGUUAGAAAUAACUUAGGUGACCAGUUAUGGUCACUUAUGGGUGACAAACACCAAUAAGAGAUGGACAAAUAUCAACAAUAAUCAUAAAUAAACAUAUCAAAUACCUAAAACUUCCCUGUUAUGUCCUUAAAUUGCAAUCAAACAUUUUAAAAUGGACACGUGUCCCAUGUUUAUUGGUUGUGGUCACCUUAAGGUGACCAGCCCUUGUCACCGAAGUCGGGUUCAUUAAUCUAGCUUGCUAAUUUUUUUUUCUUCCAAGAGAUCAUGCAAUUCUAAUCGUUAAACAAUAACGUCACUGCAUCGAGUUAGAUAAUACUCAUAAUAGGUCAACAACAAUCGCUAAGUUAUUACUUUGUGAGAGUCAUACAAUUACUCAUCAGUAUGAGGUCUCUUCUACAAUGUGCUACAAAUUCCAUUUGCUGCAUUACCAAAUCACAUGUUAUACGUACGCUAUAUGAAUGAGUGAACUGGCUAGGAUCUGUUACAGCCUUACAGGUUAAUUAUGAAAUUCAUGCAUAUAUGGAAGAAACUAUUUUAUUAAUUAGAGUCCAUUUUGAAUAUUUGUGUCAGUAAUGAUUUCUUUUUACAAAAUAAUAAGAUUCCUUAUGGAAAGAUAAUAAAAAGGAUAAAGCUAAAAUUUAAUGACAUUAUUUUCAUUUCAAAGUAGAAGAACAGAAAACAAAGACGUUAUAUAUUGGUUUUGGGGUUAGCACUCAGAAGAAACCUGUAUCCCCUAUAAUGAACUAACACAUGUUUGGCAAUCCAGAAAUUAGCUCAAAAGAAAACAUACCAACUAGGUAUAAGUCCAUCGUUUGCAUCGACUAGUCAACUUUAUGAAAAGAUUAAUACAGCUUCAUAAUUAAUUUACACAGGGUGUGAACUUCAUGUCUUCUUAUAUAUGAAUCAAUUGCUAUAUUAUCUGUUACAUUUUACCCCAGUUCUUGUUGUUCUCAGCAGUCUUCCCAUUCUGAAUCUAGGCUAGCUUGUUUGAGUUUUCGAGUUGAACCAAACAACUUCCCUAAAUUUUCCAACUCUUGAAUAUGAGUACUACUAGUGAACAAUCGACGAGUUCAUAUUCUCCUUCCCGUACUACUACUUCUUCAAUGGAACAGGUAUGAGACUCAAAUUGUUAUUGUAUUUCUGUGUCUUUCAAUGGAACAAGUGAUGAACCAUUUUAUCAAUUUUUUCCUCGAUUAUGUUCUUCAUGAAAGUUUUCCGAUUUAGUCUUGUAGAAAAAAAAAAACAAAAUGGUACUUAUAGCCUUUAGCCUUUUAGAUGGUACUUAUAUAUGCGGGACAAUUCCAUGAACACUGAUUCCAUUUGAAUCCCUAAUUUUAACUUGAACACCUUCAUGUCAAUAUUUAUAGGAAAGAAAAAGAUCGAGGUCAUCAGUAAAUCUUAGUUUUGAUAAGUCUAUUCGUAGAGUUACAGAGGCAAUAGAUUAUUAAUGCAUGGAUGAAUGAUCCAUGCAUUAUAUGUGCAGUAUGGAGAGGUGAAUAUGAUCGAUGAUUAUAUAUUUGAAGAGUCGUAACCGUGGAUAAAGGAUGUUAAAAGAUAAAUGAUUACAUGUGAUCGGUGUAGUAAUAAAUCUUUCUCAUUUCUAAAUAACAUAGUAACGAUAGAGUGAUUACAAAAGAUCUAGUGAAACAUAAUACACAACGUAUAUUGUACGAAUUCGUAAAACAUCAUAACCUCUUCAGGGGCUUUUUUUUGUUUUUUGUUUUUGUUUUUUGUUUUAGGGAAAUGGAACAAAUUCAUUAGACUUAUAGCCAAUAACGAUCGUAAACGAUCAAUACAUGAGUAACCCUAGGACUACUCGCAUACAACAAUACAUUAUGAAUUAAAAAAACAACCUCAAAACUACAAUCCAAAAAGGUAGACAUUUAACCGACUAAAAAGCAAAUGAACCUCUACCAUACCCUAAAAGAACUUCCUCCUUCCCCAAUUAGAGGUCUCAGACCUCAAAUGGUGUACGGUGUACCUUUCAUCGAUAUGGGAGCUUGAAAGAGCCUCUAGUGCACAUACAUGGGUCUUUCCUAGUGUAAGCUCGUAACAAGCUCAACACGGAGCCUGGCAGAAAAAACUCAGAACAAGAGGGAAGGUGGGCUAAGGCCUAAGCCUACCCCAAUCCACAAUUUCCUAGAUUCCUCAUCUGGAACCCUAAUAGAAAUCUUCAGAGUUGCCCUCACGGGUUUCCACCAGAAUCCUACCGAACUCAUCUGAGCCUCAGUCUCUCGUGUUCAGGUGGGCGACCUCGAACCUCUGCUAUGAAGCAACCUAGAUAGUAGUCUUUGUCAAACAACGACAAGCGUGGCCCGUGGAUCAUCCUUGUACUGAUACUGUUCUAACUUAAUCACCUUUAAGGUGUUAGGUUUUAAUUACAAAAGACCUCGGUACAAUUAGAAAUGAUCCACCCACUUACAAGUUAUAUUUUUAUUUGUCAUUUUUCCAAUGUGAGAUCUCUCCUCUCUAACAUUUGCCCUCAUGGGCAACCUAACUUUUAGGUCUGCACGUGAAACUGAUUAACAAACUGAACCCGCCUAUGACAACCGAAAGAACCCCAAACUCCCCAAGACAAUCGAAAGAACCCCAAACUCGAAAGAACCAAACUAGGGUGAAUUCACUUUAAACUCGAAAGAACCAAACCAGGGCCAUGACCCUUGAAAGAACCAACCCGGGCUCAUUGGAGACGCAACUGGAGAGGGACCUGCUCUGAUAUUAUGUCAAACAGCGACAAACGUGGCCUAUGGAUUAUUCUUGUAUCGAUAUUGUCCAAACUUAACCACUUUUAAAGUGUUGGGUUUUAACCACAAAAGGUCUCGGUACAAUUAGGAAUGACCCACCCACUUAUUAUGAGUUAUAUUUUUUUUGUCACUUUUCUAAUGUGGGAUCUCUCCUCUCCAACAGUCUCUGCUUCCUCUGGCCUGGAUGACACUCAAAUCCUGACUAUGUCAACUUAAGAAUCAAGAUCUGAACCUAAUCUCCCUCCUCAUCAAUCAGCGCGGUUAAUCACCGGUGUGAUCACUCGAUCUCCACAACCCAGCCCCGUUGUUCUCCAAAGCAAUCCAUCAGUCUUUCAAACCUCUACUAACCCCGCAAGCCGCCGUCUCUAAGUCUUCGAACAAGAAGACUUCCUUAGCCACCGAGCCGCCGAUCCAAACCUCACCUCGAGAGCGCACCACUCUCCACCGAGUACCUCCCUAAAAUGAGGUACCAUCUGUGAAACACACCGGUCGGUGUUCACCACCGCCUAGCUCCAAAACCUAGGUUUUGGGAUCCUCGGCUCCGAAAGAGAUGGAGCGUUUAUUUUUUUUUUUCAGGGGCUUUAAGAUACCAUAUCAAGAGUUUAAUUCUUCAAUAUUGGUUAAUGUUGGGAGGGACUUUUUUUUAUAAAAAAUGUCAACCGCGACUUGUAGGACAUUUUCACACAUGAUCCCAAAAAUACCAUAGGCACCAUGAUCCAAACUAGCUAUUAUAAACAGAUGAGUAUUGUAUUGGUAAUAGAUUUUAGAUGUAGAGAGGAAGCUCUUUUCUCUUAAUAAUAAUUAAUAAAUAAAAAUUCAUAGCAAACCAGCAUUUGGUCUAUAUGCUAACUCUCUAACUUUUGCAAGAGAAUAGCUUUCACUAUUUUUGCUUAAAUUGUAUAAAUUUAUUCAUUUUUUUGUGUGUAAUCAAUCUUUUGUACUCAAACAACUAUAUAUAUAAAUUCAAAAGUAGCAAAAGUGGAGAGAACAACGAAGUGCAUUUUGAAAUUGACUAGUUAAUAAAAGUAGUAUCACCUAGUAUUAUAUAGCUAUUAUAUAUGACGUUUUUUCUCAAACAAUAUGACCUUCAUUUCCAUGGCUAAUUAACCAGCCAUGGAUGGAUCAAUGGAAAUUGCAGGUUUCAAAAGCAAUGGUGAAGGAGAGAGUGCAGCAAAAACCAGAAUGGAUUGAGGGAUUCUUAAGAGCAAAAUUCUCUGUUGCCUGUGCAACCCAUCCUUAUAUCGCGAACCCCUUAAAUAGGUACUGCAUAACCUGUAGAAUCCCAGGAUGCCAGUUCUGUAUCAGUCCUGGCAAUCGGCAUAGCGACCACGAAACGUUCCAAGUCUACAGGCAUUCCAACCGUGAUGCAGUUUUACUCAACGAAAUGCAAAAACACUUCGACUGUAGUGGUAUUCUUGUACGUACACAACUUUGAGAUAUCUGGUACGUUUCUAUUCUUUAGUUGAUAUUUUGAAUGAUGUAUUGAUAUUGUGACCGCCAUUGUUUCCAGCCCUACAAGCGUGACCGAUCGCUGGUCAUAGCACUGAAGCCUCUCCCGCAUUUAGGUGGAUUAAGCAAGUUUAUGUGCAAGACUUGUGGGAGACGAAUAAGUUACCCGUACUCAUACUGCUGCCUCUAUUGCAAGGUACGUACGUAAUGACGACUCAUGCAUCUGAUGAAUCCUAUCUGAGAUCAUCAGCUAAACUAGCAUUUGGUUGUUCUACUAACUUAACUGACGAACAAUUUGCGGAAUUUAUAUAUCUGAUUUAGAAGCUGCAUGCAGCCUAUAUGCAUUUUAAUUUCAGCUACAUAUAUGGAUUGGACUUAAUUUUAUGACUUAUAUAUUUAUAGGUGGAAGUAAUGGCGAGCAGAGUCUCAUCAUCAGCUCCUCCACUUCUUGGCGACCAGAAUAGUCCCAACAAUAGGGAAAACAAGAAGAGGGUUGCCGAACCGGACAGCUCACUUAACAGAAGAAAGGGAAAAGCUUUCCGAGCUCCAUUUUUCUGAAGUCGUACUUGCUACUUUGAGAGGAAUUACUUAACAUCAAUUUGGCUAGUCAUUCUAUGUUCAUGUUUAAUUGACUAUAAUUUGCUAUAUAUUUCUUGAAACACCAAGCUCAUAUUAAAAUUAUGGCCUGGAUUCAAGGCAAGUUUGUGGUUGAUUUUUCGACUUUUGGAUCGUCUGUUUCGGCUAAGAAUAAUACAUGAUAGACUACUCUAUUGCAGAUGCUAACGCUCUCUAUACUAAAAAGAGUAACUUGCCUCGUAGGCAUGGCAACUAUUGUUUAUCUGACACUAAAUGCUGAACAUGCAAGCAAUUAAUUGUGGUAGGCUAAGCCAAAUUUACCAUAUAUCUAUUUUUGGUCGAAUAUUCACAUAACUAAAUCCACUUUUUCACAGUAUUGUUCAUAAUUACUGUUCACGUGAACAAUGUUUUCUCAUCUCAUAAAGAAAAAAAUGUUUCAUAUCUUGCCAUCUCUGUUGAUUGCUGAAUUUCUGUACAUACCAUUCCUUUUGGCUUACUAACAAGUUUGCCAUGAGACUGAAUAUAAAGAGGCUGAUGCCAGAUUUUUUCUGCUCACUCUUAAAGGUUCCAGACUUGACUUUCUCACGAACUUCGCCGCCCUAAACGUUUCACUGAUUUCAACACCAAUCGACGAACUUCGCCGCCCUAAACGUUCAUAACACUGUUUAUAACAUUGUUUAUAAGAACAGUGUGCUGACUGUUUACCCCUCGCUCAGAUGCUGCAAGAUUCCACAUUUGCCCUAAGAGUUAGGGCUGGAUAUAAAAGGCUUCUUUUUUUUUGGUGCUCGUGUCACCUUUUCUUUUCUCUUCUAAUCUCUCUCGCUCUUUCUCACUCUCUUGAAACUUCCAUAAAGAUCGAGAAAGAGCUACUGUUCAGUUUUCUUUAUUCGUCUUACAUUCGAGUGUUCCAGAGGUUUUAGAAGAUGAGAGAGAGAUCAGGUAGAGAGGGAGAGAAAGACAGAGUCCGGCUAAAUGCAGAGAAGGAUAAAGAGAGAGUUGAUCCAGAAUUGAUCCCUUGAAUUCUGAACUCUUUCCAGUUUUUACCAAAUUUCUUGAUCGAUUGAGGUUCGGCACCUCACAAGAUUUGGUGGCGGCAUGGGUUUAGGGUUUGUCAUCAGUAAGUAGAAGGGAGGUGAUUCUGGGUUUCGAGUAAUACUCUUUUUAACUCGGGUCUGUUUGUUUGUUUUAUUAAGAUCGGUGAUGGGUAAUGUUUGAGGUUUGGUAUUUUGGCAGAUUUAAGUUAAUAUAUUUUGUUUGUAUUCUAAUGUCGCUAAAUCUUCUGGGUUUCUUCUCUUUUUACAAUUAUUGUUGUAGGUUUUGGAAGUAAGGCUUUAAAUUUGAAUGACGAAAAGGAUCAAAGUGAUAUUGCAAAAGCUCUUUCUGUGUCUCCAAACAAUCAUCAUCAGGUAUUUCGUUUGUAAUUUUCUUACCUUUUAUUCCCUCUGUAUGUAGCUUCAAUUUACCAAUGUCUGAUUCAAUUGCCUUGCUUUUCGUACAGAUUGUGGAUCUCAUACAAAAUGUGGAUGUGAAUCCGAUCGUUACAAACUACUGUGAUGUGGGAAGCGUGAACACGAUAGGAGGCGGCUCCGUUAAGCGUCAAAAAACAAGUGAGAUAAAGUUGGAAUCCACCAACGACAACCUUGAAUCCACAGACUAGAUUUUAGAAUACACGAGAAGUUCUAGAAUCCACCAGGAAUUUGAGAAAACUCAAAAGUUUUAUUGAUAAGAAAGAUUCCCCUAAUAGCAAGUACACCCAUUGAAAAAAAUUCAACCUGGGUUGGUUGACACCUAGGCAAUCCAACCCAAGAGAAAAAACUUAUCUUCCACCCACAAAUGGGAUAUCUCCCUAAUUCAACCCCGGCUACAUUUUGAGGGAGCAAUCUGACCCAAGUUAGAGGAGCAAUCCAGCCCAGGUUACUUGCGCCACCUCAGCUCGACCCACAACGUGGGUGAUGUUAGUCUGGGCUACUCUCCAUCGUCUCACGCCAUCCAUUGCCGCGUGAAGCACACUAGUCUUCUUUGAUGGGUAUGAAUGCCGCACGUGAAGACCACCUUCACCUUUGUGGAGGAAACAUGAAAGAGAGUUGGGCCCCCACUAACCUCUUUGACCGUUUAUUAUGCAAAUAUGCUUUAAAUUUUUUUGAUUGAGCAAAUAAUUUUUUAAAAUUCAAUAAGAUGUAGCAAUAGGGAAAAUCUGUAAAAAGAAAUUAAAAAAAAAGAAAUUCAAAUUGUAUGAAUUCUCUAUUAAUACUUGUCAUUAUUUUGCAUUCCACAAACCAAAAAAGAAGAAGAAUUCCUUAGUUAUAGCUAAUUAUUUAUAUCCCUAGCCAAUUUAGAAUGUGCAUGUGUUCUAUGUUUAUGAGUUUUUUAUUAGAAAAUUAAAAAUAAAAGUAGACUUGACUUGUUAAAUAUUAUGAAAUAAAAAAUAAUAAUUUCAAUGUGAUAUAAUUUAUAAAAAUUAUAUCUAUCUACAACUAAAAUCAUUAUUCACACUAAAAAAAUGUUUUUUAAAAUUUAAUAAACAGUCAUUGCCAUGUGGCAACAAUCUCACAUUUUUGACAAGUGGAAAUUACUGCCUAGUCACAGUGACCCAGAGUGACCCAGGUCACUGUGUUCAAUCUAAUCCAACGGGCGAACUUGCUCUAAUACAAAGCAUGAUGAAGUUUAUAUAGGCAUCCAUACCUAAGAAUUACAAUCAUAAUCUAAAUUGAAACCUAAGAAUCCAAAUUAAAAAGAAAACAAAUAACCCUAAAUAAAAGAAUCCUAAAAAGAAAAUAAAACUAGCCUAAAAAUACUAAAUCGUGAAUCGGACAGUUAAAACGACAUAUUUUGGCUUAAAUCUGAUAGGGCUCACUAAAGUGAGUCUUGUAGAUCUCGUCGUUUCCAUUCCGGAAAUGUAUCAUGCAUCCAAAACGGAACGUUCUGGCCAAAAAUUACUCCAAAUCAGAUUUAAGAGAUUUUGCGUGACAAACCUAGAAAGUCUAAAACAACAUCUUUUUGAAUAUUCCAGCGGCUAACAACCUCAUGAUACGAGAAUUACCGAUCUUUAAAUCAUUAUUUUUGAUUAUUCGCUGCUUCCUUAUUUUUAUUUUUUUUCUGUUUAAAUUUGACACAUUCUCGUCCUACAUCAUAUUGCAUGCCAGAAUGACAAGCUAUGCCAGAUAAGCUACAAGGCCUAGCACCAUUAUAAUCAUUUGGCUUCUCAAUAUCGGUGCAUUAUCUUGGCUAAUGAGAUUUGAUCUUUACAUUAUCAAGUUGUAUGUACUUCACAAGUUCACAAAUGCAAAUGUAGCAUGUGAUUUUGAAAUCCUCUUACAUUUAGCAAAUCUUAAAGAAUGUAAUCUAAGCUCUAAAGCAUUGUGCUCAAUAUAUAGGAACAAUAUUUGUUAGAUGAGAUACAAAAACUUUACAUAAUUUUCCUUUAGUUUGGUGAAUUACAAUGCACAUAUCUAAAUAAAUUAAAUAUUUUUUUCACAAGCUCAUACCAAGUUAUGUAAAAAUCAAUAUCUUGAUAAUAAUGAAUAACAUGCUGGAAGAUUCACAAAACUCGAAUACGCUGGUAACAAAUAUUUUGUAUCGCAAUCGUAAUCACACUUUGGAAUUGCUAUACUUUUUCCUUCAGACCCGAUCUAGGGAGAAGUAUAUAUAAAAGUAGUUAGUUUCUUCUAGAUCUAGAUACAAUAUAGCAGAAAUGCAUGAAUAUAGAAACAUAAAGCUAUACAUCUAAAGGCAAUCUGAAAACAUUAAGCUUCCCAAGAAGGCAUUCCAAAAAGUUUGUAUCGUGAAUGUCUAAAAAGAAUAUUCUUUAAGGACCUAUGCCAGCAGUCAGCAGUCACAACACAAUCUUUUAUGACCUGAAAGAGAAAAUGAGAAAUCCUAAGUAAUGGAUAUUAAUGAUAGCAUAUUUUUCAUUCAACAUGUGUAUGAUCAAUAAGGUUAAUUGAAAGAUAAUUGUAUAUUGAUAUACAAUAUUGAGUAUUUUGUGGUAAUCUUACAGUAUCUUUCACUCGAUAAUAAGAUUGUGAGGUAACAGACAUUGAUCCACCUUUUCCCUUAAAGAAUUCAAUCAUUUUACAAAUGCAGGGUUUUUCUUCUCCCGAAGCCUAAAAGAAAACAACCAACACAAAGAGCUGUCAAUUUUUGGAUAAGAAAACAUAACAAAAACAUUAGACAACAAGUUAUGCCAUUGCACGUAUGAGUUUUCUUUGCGAAAAGAAAACAAAUAUAAGAGAUGUCAUGUUGAUUCUAACAGGGUUUAUAUAUGAACAAUCAUCGAUGUAUAAUUUAUAAACUUGCGUCACUAUAAUAUGUUUCGUCACCAAACCUGGUUGCUAGGUAGGUUACUUUGGAGACGUACGUAUUUGUGUUCUUGAAGGAUCGCCAUAUCGUAGAAAGGUUUUUUGUCAAAGGUCUGGGAUGCAUGUCGUGCUUGUCCACCGCACACCAGAGGUGGAACCUAUCAAUAGAACCAUUGUUGAUCGAUCGAUAGAAGAAAACUGCUCAAAGUUUAUUAGCCAAAGAGUUCAGAAGAAGUUGAAUUAGAUGUCUAGAGAGCUAGAUUAAUUUGAGUCUGCUAGCUAGGUUUCGAAACUCUUAAAUAAAGGUGUGUUCUAGGGUUUGUAUGUAUAGAAGUUUAGUUUUGGUAGGAUCCAUGAUAAUAGGACUCAUUCGAAAUUUGAAAUUUAUGUUAUUUUUUUAGAAUGUUUUGAAAUUGUUAUGAUAAAGAGAAAACUUAUGACAUGAUAAUUGGUGAUUGGUGGUAAUUGGCUGUUAAAUGAAGGAGGAAAUCAAGUGGAAGAUUUGGCCAACUACGGUAGGGGAAAUUAUUAUUUGUACCCGGAACACCACCUGUUUUUUGUUCCCCUUUAAUCUUAUUGGUCCACGUGUUUUAUCUUUAUUUCUGAUUGGUGCUGGUCCCCACAUGAAUCUGAGUUAUAUGAUUGGUCGGGUACAACACCUGGUAGUGCCACGUGAUGUUCCAGGUACAGAAAAUAAUUACUCCUAUGGUAGAAUUAUUUUAAUUAAGAUAAUAAAUUGCGAAUCAUAUAACUCUCAAAAAUAUUGAGCACGCAUAAACAUAAUUGGUAGUGGCAGUAGUAUUUAAACAAAAUUGGUAUUUUUUUCUUUUGUAAACUUCUUACACUUCCACUACCAAACCCUAUUAUAUAUACACCUUCUUCAAGCUUUCUGAUUCUGCAAUCUGCAUGAACCCCAAACUCCAAAAACCCCAGGUCUUCAUCACCUUGUCCAACUUGCUCAUCACAUAGUAGUACUCAAACUGGCAUUCUCCACUUCCCACUAGUUCCUACUUCCCAAAACGUAGGGUGACAGUGACAAACCAGCCAGCCUUGUUGAGUUUCAGUGAAGUAAACUCUUUCUUUGUUAGUUAUAGCACCGAAAACUCUUAGUGUAUCCCUCACAAGCUUUCCAAAUUCUUACUAGUGUGCGUUAUAUUCUUUGGCUUUAUUCUUCUGUCAACCCAAGCCAGAUGGCAUAACCAUACCAAACACAGCAAGCACAACCACCCUCACAAGAUUUCUUACAUUUCACAGCCUCCUUCCUCUUCACCUGGACCUGCUGCUAGCUACAGUCCUCCUGAACUUGAAGAGCCUAAGAAUCCAUACAACUCCACACCUGGUGUUUUCGAUGUUCGAUUAUUUGGGGCUGUUGGGGAUGGCCAAACAGAUGACACUCAAGCCUUUAAGAUGGCUUGGGACACAGCAUGCCAAAGUGAAUCGCCAGCAAAGAUACUUGUUCCGAACCAUCUCACAUUCAUGAUUCAUUCCACAAUAUUUACCUGUCCCUGCCUUUCAGGCCUGGUGUUACAGUUAAUAAUGUACUAAUUUUCUUUCACUUUUUGGCCAGCUCAAAGUGAGAAAAGACUAAAUGUUAGUCCGUUGGGUACAUUUGGUAAUGUGAAUUAGGUUGAUGGGGUUAUAGUACCACCUGAUGGACCAGAGUCCUGGCCAAAAAACAACAGCAGGCGCCAAUGGCUCGUUUUUUAUCGAAUCAACGAAGAUGUCGCUGCAAGGGAGUGGUGUCAUAGAUGGGAGAGGAGACAAAUAGUGGCAACUUCCCUGCAAACUCCACAUGGUAUUUUGUUUAAGUUGUUCAUAUUUGGUCUUAAACAUUUGGUGAUCUAAGAAACUGCUUACAUUGAUCAAUUUUUCACAGGGGGUAAAUGGAACCACCUUGCCCGGACCAUGUGAUAGCCCAGUUGUAAGUUUCAAAUUUUUUGUUUGAAGUAACAUCAGCUAACUAUAUUAUUGAACUUUGAUUUAAUAUGAUAUUGUAUUUAUGCAGGCCAUUAGGUUUUUCAUGAGCUCUAACUUGACAGUACAAGGUCUUAGGAUUAAGAAUAGCCCCCAAUUGCACCAGUCUCUUGCUUGUUGGAGGGUAAUCCUAGAACUUUACUCAGCGAUGAAAUAGACCACUGCUGAUAUAUCAGUCCAUGGUAUUCAUCUUAGGUCUGUAAAGCAAUUAGAAAUCUAUAACUAGCUACAAAAGGAAUUAGGAAUCUGUCAGCUGGAUUGCAAUUCUAAUUGUAAUUGUGUGAUUAUAGAGGAGAGAUGUUUUAUGUGCUCCCUUUCAUAUAUAUAGAAUCUAUGUAUUUCUUCAUGUUCUUGUCGGAGAGAUGGGUUUUUGUAGCUUGUAUUUUAGAAAAAGUAUUCUAGCUCUGCUGUAACACAUGCAUGAUUUAUAGGGAAUGUUGAAUAACUAUUUUACUUGGGAAAGUUGAAUAAACUGCAGUAAGAAUAUGUGACAACAAUGUAUAUCAACGUACUAAUAUGGGAUGCAGUCCCAUAUAUGUGAAACCAGAUAAAGAAGUAUAUGGCCUGGACCUUGCAAUUAACCUACAAAGAAUUGGAUGAUGCGAAUUUAAGGCUUCGAUCGAGCUUUAAUAUAUUUACCAUGUUAGACAACCAUGCACUGUAAAAUCAAACUAGCUACAUAACGAACUUUUCAGAUAAAAGUAUCUAUUAUCUAGCCAUUUAUGGAUGCCAUUCAGAGAGACUAGGGUAAACGUACUACCUUUAGUUUCCUUUGCUUGCAGUCAGUGCACCUUAAAAUUAAGCAUAUAAUCGGUUAGCAAUUGAGACACCAUGCAGAGCAGGCAUCCACAUAUAGCUGUAGUUUUUUACCAGUCUCGAUCAUGUUUGUCAAGUUGAUGCAUGAGAGUGAGUGAAGUUAAGAGGGUAAAUUUGUCGACUAGAAGAGUCAGAAGAGCUAUUGGUUUUUUGGUGUUGAAGUGGAGAGGAAGGAGGGACAUUCUCUAUAGCUUUCUUGCACGCGCAGUCUCCGAUCGAGUAGAGUCUGAUAAAGUGAAAGCUUAGGUCGGUGCACGGCGGGAUAGAGUCCAAUGCUCACCCACCAAAUUUGCAUUUUUCGUCAAUCUUGCUGCAUUGCACCCGUGCAAAUUGACUGAGUUUAACUGCAAGGGCAGAUUUGUCAUUUUCCUGCUAGGGUAGACGCAGAAACGAGGGGAAAAUAGGAGAUGAAAGCGAGGGUUUUGAGCUGUGAGGCGAGGAAAAAGAGUAGACGCACAAACAAACGAGGAUCGAAACAGAGUUGAGGUGAGAGAAAAUAGACAACUCCUCGAUUCAUAGUCAUAGGGUUGAAAUCCAGGAACACACAACUGCAUAGGGGGGAAUUGAAUUCUGGAUUUCUGGUAUUACUUUUACGACCCUUGUACUUAUGUGUCGUUCAUUCAAUUUUGAAGAAGCACAUAUGGGUUCUGGGAUUUGUUCCAUUGUGGUCGUGCUUCUUAGUUGUUGAUGGGUUUGAGUUUGUUGUGGUCGAGUCUGGUAUUGCUUUUACGAGUCUUAAAUGACGUUCAUUCAGAUUGUGUAUAACUGUUGACAGCAAGAUUUAUCGUUUAUAUGUGUCUAUGCUUGAGAAAAGAGGUUGUUUUACAUCUUGUAUCGAAACUCAAGUAUACACUGAAUGUUGAAACUAUUGUCAAUAGUUGAGGGUUGAAACCCAGGAGUGUUUGGAUCGGGCAUCCGUCUUUUGCUUCAAUUAUAUCACUGGAUAUCUGGUAAUACUUGUACCACUCUUAUUUCUUUUGCCUGGAAACAUUGGCCCUUUUGUGUCUAUCAUCCAAUUCAUGUCAUUACGUAAUCGCUUUCGUCAUUGCAAUUGGGUUGGAUAAAUUUGUUGGCAUAUUUAUCUUGCGUGAAUUUUGAGGUCAAUUAGCUGUUUUCUGUACAUUUUAUGAUGUUUCAUUCAAUUUUGGAGAAAAAGAUUUGGAUUCUUGGUUUUGUUUUAUUUGGAAUAGGAAAUAUGGAAUUGUUUUUUGUUUGUUUGUUUAUGAUGGGUGUGAGUUUGUUGUAAUUGAUUGUCUAGAAUUUUAUUCCAACUGAAAUUGAUGGAGUGAUGUUAUGAUUUCCGAGCUGAUGAAGAUGUUUUCUUAUCAUUGCUUUCUCCAAAACAUCCUUUGUGAUAUUCGUAUAGAUAAAGCUAUUGAAUUUAGAGAAAGUAUAGAAACAGAGAAGAAUUUUAGUUUACAGGAAUUGUGUUGUGCUUACAAAAACCUUAUUUAUAUGGUUUCAGUCUAGGACAGAUCGAUGCAUCUUUAUGUGGAUGAUCAAAUCCAUCAAGGUGGUGGCUAUGCUCAUUUUAUUGACGUUGAUAGACUUGGAGGAAAAAGACUGGGAUUGCGAAGGAUUUCUCUGACUUUGGCAAUGAUACUUUCUGGACUAAAACUUUUUAGCAACAUUUCAAUACUGUGAGGUAAAUCCCUGGUUUCCAUACUAUUGUUUUGUAGGCAAUCAUUAUAACUUGUCAUUAGGAAAGGAGAUGUUGUUUAGUAGACAAUCUAGAAGUAUCUCGCUUGAUGAAAUCUAUUCCAUGCAUGCAAGCAUUGUGAAAACCUGCAUUGCUUGCCGAGUGCAAAAUUUCCUUAAGUCCAUACCUAAAGGACUUGUCUUGUCUAGUGGAAUUCAGAGGUGUAAAACAGAACAUAUGGGUCUUAAUGAUGUCUCUAGCAGGAGCCAUGGGGUCUUCGCGAUUUCUCUUUCCACACUCCUUGUGAGGAUGUUUACAGGGCUGUUGUUACUGGGUAGUGGAACCUCAUAGAUUGUUUCUAAUACUUCUUUAAGUAGCUUAAAAAGAGGUAGCUGAGAUUAUCAUAUCAAAAAUGGAGAUAUAAGCGUAUUUUAGCUGCUAAUUUGAUGACUAUGAGAUAUGGUACUGAUUUUUAUUUUUUUAUUAUUUCAAUUGUCUUGAUUAGGGAGCUGUGGUGUCUCAGAAUUGUUUGUCAUCUCUAUUAGACGAAGGUAUGCUAAUUUGCUCCCAAAUGCACUAUUUUCUUUAAUCUGAAUUUACAAAUGUCAUUACUGAUUCUUUUUUACUUCUUUGGUUUGUAUAUAACUUGUGCAGAGCUGAGAAUCUCCAUUCAGAGAUAGAGAAAGUCUUAUGUGUUCUCCCAUAUAGUUUUGUCUGGUAUGCAAUGGUGUCAUCCUCAUUGACCCCUACCGGCACCGGAAAUGCCCGCCGGAGCUAAACCCUCGAAACCCAUUCCCUACCUAUCAUUGUAGAUGAAGACUUCAACACAAACUUCUCAUGUUUUCACUCUGCAAUGCCCUCUCUCUCCUCCCCAUCUCUGACUCUCCCCAAACCUAACAACAAACACCUCCUCCCCAACAAAACCAAGCCUUCCUGCCUCGUCCAAUCCAUCCUCAGCCUCUGCUCCCAAGGCCGUCUCUCCCAAGCCGUCUCCUCCCUCGACCUUUUAUUCCGAAAAGGAAUCCGCCUCCCCACCAAGGCUCUCGCUUUGGUGGUCCAGCACUGCAGAGACACUCGCUCACUCCGAGACGGCAAAUGGGUUCACUUCUAUUUGCGCCUCACCGGGUUUAAACGCCCCCCAUUGCUUCUAGCUAACCAUUUGAUUGGGAUGUACUUCAAAUGCGGCGAUGAAGUUAAUGCACGCAAGGUGUUCGAUAAAAUGCUUGUGAGGAAUUUGUACUCGUGGAACAAUAUGCUCUCUGGGUAUGCCAAGAUGAGGAAUCUGAAGGAAGCCCGGAGCUUGUUUGAGAAAAUGACCGAGAGGGACGUUGUGUCCUGGAACACCAUGGUGAUUGGGUAUGCCCAGAGUGGGGAUUGCGAUGAGGCUUUGAGGUUUUAUAGAGAGUUGCGGCGAUCGGCGUUUGGGUUGAAUGAGUUUAGUUUUGCAGGGGUUUUGACUGUGUGUGUGAAGUUGAAGGAGUUGGGGGUUGUUAGGCAGGCUCAUGGGCAGGUUUUGGUUGCUGGGUUUUUGUCGAAUGUUGUGCUUUCGAGUUCCUUGGUGGAUGCUUAUGCCAAGUGCGGGGAGAUGGGAGAUGGCAGGAGGUUGUUUGAUGAGAUGGGUGUGAGGGAUGUUCUGGCUUGGACCACGCUGGUUUCAGGAUAUGCCAAAUGGGGUGAUAUGAGAUCAGCUGGUGAGUUGUUUGAUAUGAUGCCUGAGAAGAACCCGGUAUCAUGGACAUCUAUGAUUUCAGGGUAUGCUAGAAAUGGGUUGGGGCAUGAAGCGCUUGCAUUGUUUGCGAAGAUGAUGAUGUUUCAAGUCAGGCCGGAUCAGUUUACCUUUAGUAGUUGCCUUUGUGCUUGUGCUAGUAUAGCUUCCCUUAAGCAUGGUAAACAAAUUCACGCCUCUCUAGUACGAAGUCAUUUAAGACCCAACACGAUUGUUUUGAGUUCUCUUAUCGACAUGUAUUCCAAAUGCGGCAAUUUGGGGGCCGCAAGGCAGGUAUUCAAGCUCUUGGGUGAUAAGCAAGACACUGUGUUAUGGAACACAAUGAUGUCUGCCUUAGCACAGCACGGUCAUGGUAUAGAGACAUUGCAGAUGUUUGAAGACAUGGUCGGUUCAGGUGUAAAGCCGGUAACGACCACCUUUGUUGUUAUUCUCAAUGCUUGUAGUCAUUCUGGUCUAGUCCUGGAAGGGCGUAGGCUUUUCAAGUCCAUGACUGAUGAUUAUGGCAUUGUUCCUAAUGAGGAGCAUUAUGCUUGCUUAAUUGAUCUCUUGGGUCGAGCCGGAUGUUUUGAUGAGUUGAUGAACCAGCUCGAAAAUAUGCCAUGUAAAGCUGGUGAUCAAGUUUGGAAUGCAUUACUUGGUGUUUGUAGAAUCCAUGGAAACACAGAACUAGGAAGAAAAGUGGCCGAACACCUUCUUGAGCUGGAGCCUCAAUCUUCUGCUCCCUAUGUUUUGCUUUCGAGCAUAUAUGCUGAAGAAGGUAGAUGGGAGCUGGUAGAGAAGGUGAGGCGGCUUAUGGAUGAGAGACAUGUGAGGAAAGAGAGAGCCAUUAGUUGGUUAGAAGUUGGAAGUAGGUUGCAUGCUUUCACUGUAUCAGACCGGCUGCAUCCUUUAAAAGAGGAAAUAUACUCAGUUUUGAAACAGUUAGCUGACCAGAUGGAAGAAGAUGCCUCACUAACUAACCUCGAGAACUAGAAGAUUGAUGACUUGUUACUUCGCAGGGUGGUAAGGAGAGAAAGUGACAGUAUUUGUCUAUUCAAUCUUCAAAAUUUUUGUAACAUUAUAUUCUUAAGCUACAAUUUCAAAUUCUUUAGAUUUGAAUCUCCAGAAUGACAUACAUGUGACUGCCUCUCUCUUUCUCGGUCAGUGAGCUUUGCAGCAAAUCCACUUAAACUCCUUUUGUAACUUCUUGUCAAGAAAUUUGCAGCGGAGUUGCUCUCGACAACUUUUUCAAGUAAUCCAAGGUGGUGAGACAAUGGUUAGUACACCACAUUAUCAGGAAGUGAACCCAGGUACACAAUAUGGACCUUUCUGUCUUCAUCUAUGGCCUUGCACAAGAAGAUACUCAAAAGUAUAACAGUGGGGAAAAUAUAAGAAAAUAGGAUAGCUUCAUGCUUAGCCAUUGUUUUCAAUUGAUGCUCUAAAUUAUUGCUAGUGAAGACUGCUAAUACUGAGAUUCAUGAUGUAGUACCACGUCCAUCCAAAUUUGUUUCUGGCAAAAAAUCACAAAUGGUCAUUGACUUUUGACCCAUUAAUCACUUUACUCACUCACAUUUCAAAAAUGUCAUUUAACUCACUCAUUUAUGAUUAUGUCUCUCACUUAACUCAUUGCCGUUAAACAUACCGUUAGGAGCCGUUAACAUUGAGUAUAUUUGUCUAACCACAUAAAAUAUUUCUAAUUUAUUCUUAAAUUUAUUUCUGUUAUUAGAUCAUUUUUCAAUUUUGUCUUGAAAUUUCUAUGAAAAAGAGUAACUUUAAAAAAUCUGAAAUUAUUCUGAAAAAAUAUAUUAUUUGUAGUUCUUUUUUUUUUUCGUACAAAUUAUUUGUAGUUCUUUUAAUCGUAAUAAAAAAAAUUAACUAAUAAAUUAAUGCAUAUUUAACUUAUUUGAAUGUUAUUAAAUUAUUUUCAACUUUAAAAAAAAAUUCUGGAAUUUCUUUUUCUUUUUGAAAGAUUGGAAUUUGUAAUACAAAAAAAAUGUUUUAGAAUUAAAAUCUAAUGAGGAAACAACAUUGUUUAUUUUUUCUCAAAAUAAAAAAAUAAUUAAAAACUUAUUUUUUGGUGGUUAGACAAAUAUACCCUCGAUGUUAACGAUAACUAACGGUUGGUUUAACGGCAGUGAGUUAAGUGAGCGAGAUAAUCAAAAGUGAGCGAGUUAAGUGACAUUUUUGAAAUGUGAGUGAGUAAAGUGAUUAAUGGGUCAAAAGUCAGUGACCAUUUGUGAUAUUUUGCCUUUGUUUCCUUUAACUGAUGAUUCUUCUUUGGCAUUGCAUUUAACUUAAUAAUGAUUUUGUUUCCAAAUAACAAUUCAAAAUCAUAUUUCCAAUAUUCCAUCUAUCUAUGUCAGAAGGUCCAGAUUAGCUUGAUAAUUUCUAAGAAUGCUGCAAAUCCCUGGAUUUAGGUCUGAUGCAAUUAAUAUAUAUGGAAGUAUUUGCAUAGAGCUAUAUAUAGACCAACAAUCACCUAAAAGAAGGUUAUAUUUUCAAACCCUUUUUUUUUUUUUUUUUUNUUACAAAUUCUGCUUUAUUUGGUGAUUUUCUUCUUGGCCAAAUUAAAAGCCUUGAUUUCAUAUCAUAUUUGCCUUGCUAAUUCUAAAUGUAGCUGUGAAAUAACUACAACAUAAAAUAUAGUCAACUACUCGUAUUCAUAUCAUUUGGUUGAUAUUUGACCCUUUGCUGGUGUUUGGUCCAAAGGCUUAAUUUUAUUAGCAGAUUUUCCCUUGCUGAAUCUAUCUUUAGCUGCCAAACUAAAUUGUAUGUAUCUCAUACUACAGUGGUAUGUAUUAUCUUUUCAAUUUCAGGAAGUACCUCUUCUUUCAGAUGUAUAAUCUAGCUUGACUUCAAGAUUUGAUAUAUUUGAGUUUAUUCUGCGAGUUGGUUAAUCCUUAGAUUAAACCUUUCAAGUUCUAUAAGCUUUCCGGAGCUUUUAUAGAAAGAUGAACUAGAAAUUCAAUUAAGGUUGGUCUUGAAGGAUCAACUCUUCUCGAGAGAGUGUUUGCGACCACACACACACAUGCCAGUUCUCACUCCUUUUUUAUGCAAAAGCUCUGAUAUGGCUUAGGUUUAGAUUCUCUUUUAUUCAUCGAUGGAGGCGUGAACUAUGAGGAAUGAGCUUCAGCUCUAAUACCAGCUAGAAUGCGCACCUAACCAGUGCUGAAACAAUCAAGAAGUUCUUUUUAUUCUUCAAGAGUUUCAUUGGUAAUUCUAUUAUUUUAUUUUUACAAUCUUAUAAAUGUUUUUUUUUUAAUCAAGUGGUUCUUGAUAGUAUCCAAUAAUAGAGAUGUUCUGUAAUAAGUCAUACUCAAAUAUUUCUGAAUUUUAAUUUUUUCUUGUUCUUCUAGUAUUUCUUCUGUAGUUUCUUGGUAAAUAGUAAGCAAUUGUGCUCUAGUAAGGAGAAAAAAUGUAAAUGAUGAAAAUUUAACUGCUCUAGUUUCUUGGUUGUUCUACUGACUUAACUGAACAAUCUGCGGAAUUUAUAUAUCUGAUUUAGAAGCUGGAUGCAGCCUAUAUGUAUACAUGGAUUGGACUUAAUUUUUUAUUUACUUAUAUCUGUAAUAUAAUUUAUAGGUCACAGCAAUGGUGAGCAACCCUAGUGGUGUCUCAUCAUCAGCUCCUCCACUUCUUGGCGACCAGAAUAGUCCCAACAAUAGGGAUGAAAAGAAGAAGAGGGUUGCCAAACCGGAAAGCUCAUUUAACAGAAGAAAGGGAAAAGCUUUCCGAGCGCCAUUUUUCUGAAGGCGUACUUGCUACUUUGAGAGGAAUUAAGGAGUGGGAAGCAACAACAUCAAUUUGGCUUGUCAUUCUAUGUUCAUGUUUAAUGACUAUAUUUGCUAUUUAUAUUUAUUUCUUGAACUUAGAUGUUCAUGUUAAGAUUAUGGCCUGGAUUCAUGGGCAAGUUUGUGGUGAUUUUUGGACUUUUGGGGAUUGACUGUUUCGGUUAAGAAUAAUACAUACGAUAGACGACUCUUUUUUUGGCCUAAUAGACGACUCUAUUGCAGAUGCUAAAGCUCUCUAUACAUAGAAGAGUAAUUUGCCUCGUAGGCAUCUACUAAAUGCCGAACACGCAAUUGUGGUAAGCUAAUUAAAGCCAAGUACUUCAAUUAAGGCUUAUAGAGCUACCACCAAAGAGCAUAUAUAAUUCAAUACAUUAACCCACGUUUGUUACAUGAGAUAGAAGGGGACUGGACUAUCUUACAUAGUACAAUAUCAGAAAUCUCACGUUUGGCAACACACGGGACUUUUUAAUGUGCAUACAUAAUCCUAAAUUCUCCCUCAGACCUUCUACGAUAGCCCUCCCAAAAACCAUGGGAUUGUGUAAGCCCUUCUUCUCUCUCAGUGAAUUUCUCAUCUUCUGAGCGUGUCGUUGCUCAAUGGCCUCCUCAACCUUGUGCGCCACCAAUCAUGAGGUUGACAUCGUCACUCUCAGCUCCGACCUCUCCAAGCCGGUUUCGCAUCAAUGAUUGACGUGCCCGUAACCGGGCGUGCGACAAUUAAGAACUUUUUUUGACAAUCGUAGUAUAAGACAAAUAAGGUUCGAUCAAUUCGGGGACUAAAGGUGCUUCUGUAACAAUGAUCCUUGGAAAAAAUCAGUAGCUAACAAUAUAUACAAGUAUUCAUUUACAAAUUUACAUAUGGUACAAGGCAAACAGGGGGGGGGGGGGUUUUGAGGUUUGUUCUAAUGUUCCUACUAAAAGAUAAAGAGAAAAGCUAAACUAAUAUAUACAAGUGAUCGAUUUAUUCAACACAUCAGCUAGAGAGAAACUCAAAUUCUGACCACACAUCAAAGUUCACGUUUCAACCUUAGCAAUCCGAUAACAUGCCAAUUCAGAGAACUAGAAACAAUCUCAAAAUACAAGUCUACGAGGUCAUGCAUUUUAUAGUUCUACUUACUUAUCCCUAGAACAGAACGUCUAGAACUAGGACAUCUCAUGCAAGGCUGCUAUCAAUACUACGAGUAUCUGUCUACACUUAACAUGAGUCCUUAAGAUCUAUAGAACGAGAUUGAACACAAUUAUAUUAUGAACGUCACAACAGGGAAUUGCAUAGUAUACGUUUUCAGCCAUUUUGACAUAGCUUCCAUCACUAGAGAUCCACAUUUACCUACGAGGCUUAGUAUAAAUCAUGACAAUAGUUAGCAUGCAUUCUAACAUAGUAAUCAAACAAAAACGCACACUUUCUAACCUAUGAAUUGACAAGAUCAGAUUGCUAAAAUAUCAUGAACAAAACUUCAACAUACUUUACUAGAAUUCUGAAUUUACUAACAACAUAACAAUCGAAACAACAUCCAAAUCCAAUAUUUAAAGACUGAAAACAUGUUUCUGAAAAUUGUAAAGGAAAACUAAACAACAACAGAGGUAGGGUUACACUUUUAUCAGUAUUCAAGAAGCUUGUAGACCUCUAGAAAGUGCUCCAGCUUCAAAGCUUUGAGGUUCCAAAGUUGCCGCUCUUGUGGAACGUCUGACAAGGCCUUGGUAAGGGAGGAAGAAACUCAGCAAAGGAGAGGGAGAGGCUACUCAACAGAGCUAUGUGUUUUCCUGACUUUUGUGUGAAUGAAUGAUGGGCUGAGAAGUACCCAAGGCUGUCUUUAUAUAGAGGAAAUCUUGGUGGAACUUCUCUUCAAAAAUGAUGUGGGACUAAAAGCACAUGUUUAACUUUUCUUUUUUAUGUGCACAUGUUUGACUUUUCUCUUUCCUUUGUUGGGCUGCUUGGGCCUUCUCUUCCAGCCUUGGACUACUUGAGCCUUCCUUUAGGCUUUCUGCAUUUUUGUACUACUUGGGCAUUCUUUUGUCAAUUAAGUUUUUUGUGCCUUUCUUUUUCCUUCCUUAGACUACAAGAAGGUUUCUUUGUCUUUUUCUGUAUUUUUCUCUUAUUUCCAUCAUUUAGCCUUUUUUUCUUGAUUUAUGCUCUCAUGUCCUUUACAAUCACAAAACAUGUCAGAAAUGGUAUUAUUAUGAGAAUAUCAUAGCUAAAUAAGAUAGGAAACACAUUAUAAACAUAACACUUUGUGCUCAUAUCAAUGAUAUACGAGACUUCCCCAAAAUUUCUAGAAUUGUUUGUUAUCACUGCGGCAGGACCCCCACCACACCUAUUACCCAACAACUUUCACCAGCAAAUUCGAACACUAGAUCAACUUCCAUACCUCAUGAAUCUCAAAACAUCGCUGGAGCCGCCGGAAUUUGCAGAGAAACUGCUUUACGUCGACCAUUGAGAGAGGAAUCAAAUUCGACCGGUGCGACGGUCAUAGGGGGACCUGACGCCGGAGAUCUGGUCGCUCACCAUCUACAGCUCUGUGCGUCUGUGUGUUGAUGGUUUGGCUUAUUUUUCAAUGUUAUAUUGUUACCUACACCCAAACGUGGGUCAAGCUUAAUUAAAAAUAAGCUGGGUUUAUGGGUUUAAAAAUAAUCUUGUGUUAGAGAGUCCAUCUAAACAAACAUGCAGCAAGUGAUUAAACAAACCUAGACAAAGGUAGGAGGAGUAUUCCCCUUGGAAGGGGUAGCUUUUCCUACCUCACCUGCAAGGGUGAAUUCCGGCUGUCCAGCUUAAUUUCCACUUUCUUAGCAUGUUUUCCUUUCUUCAUUGGCGAUGCUUUGGUCUUCUUUGAUGGUAAUUUCUUCAAUGGGGAUUUGAUCACCACUAAACUCUUGUUUUCCUUAAUUCUGCCAAGGCUGAUAGAGCUACGUACCUUAAAUUUGAAAGAGCAUAAUUCCACACAUUAAACAAACCUAGACAGAGGUACGAAUAUCCCCAUUGGAAGGGGUAGCUUUUCCUACCUCACCUGCAAAAGUGAACUCCGGUUACUGACGGUUUUAUGUUUAGUCUUUGACCGUAAAUGAAGUAAGGACUACUAACUGAUCAUUAUAUAUUGUAUUUCAAUGUGAUGUAAAAUGCAGCUAUGUUGCAUAUGGAACUAGACUUAUAUUUAUAAGUCUCGAAGAAGCUUUUGAAAAAAAUAAUGGAACACUGAAUAUGAAUUACAUAUACCUAUGUGUAUUAAUCGAAUUAAUCUUAUGUGUAAUUUGGACAUAUGUUAGAGUUUAUAUUUGAAUUCAAAAGUAGAGUGAUUAAGACAAGAUAAAGAUCAAGACAAAGGAAGUUGUUGACAGUUUCUUGAUGGAAGAAACUGUCAUAUAACUAACUGUAGCAGUUGGAAAACUGUACAGCCCUAUAAAGCCUAUCUAGAUCUCUGCUAGAACACUAAUAAUUAUUCAUAAAAACUAUCCCAUCAAUAGAGAGAAAUCUGAGUGGAUCUAAGAGAAGAUCAAGAUGGAUGUAAACAGAACAAGUUAGUACUAUAAUUAAACUUAGUUACAUUUUUUCUAUAUUUAACAUAGUUUAGUAUAUACACAAGUGUUUAUGCAGUUUGUGAAAACUUACAUGAGACGUUUCCUCCUCCUUGGCCACUAAUUAGAAUUAGCUUGGGGUUAUCACUACUAGAAAAAAGUUCUUAGGUGACGAAAAAACCUAAGAGCUUCUGUCGUCAUGUAAACACUAAAAUGACGAAAAUUUCGUCACCUAAGGAUCGUCAUCUAAGGGCGGUGGUUAGAGCACUUAGGUGACGAAAAUAUGAAUUUCGUCAUCUUAGUAAUGACUAAGAUGAUGAAAUUUCGCUAAGAUACUCAGAUGACGAAUAUUAUUUCGUCGCCAAGAUACUUAGAUGAUGAAUAUUAUUUCUUAGAUGACAAAUAUUAUUUCGUCGCCAAGAUACUUAGCUGACGAAUAUUAUUUCGUCGCCAAGAUACUUAGCUGACAAAAAUUAUUUCGUCUCCACAUUACUUAGCUGACAAAAAUCUUUUCUUCGCCAAGUUACUUAAAUGACGAAAAUUAUUUCAUUGCCACAUUACUUAGCUGACGAAAAUUAUUUCGUCGCAAAUUUGGUUACGUGAUGUAGUAUGACCAGCUAAGGUGACGAAAUCAGUCAUUACGAAAACACUAUCACUAGGAAAACGUUUAGGGUUUAGGGUUUGCUGACAAUUCUUUCAUUGGGCUAAGGCCACGAAAGUUGAACUUUCGUCACCUUAGUGCUAUUUAUUUUUAUUAAAUUUAAUCAUUAAUAAUUAUUAAAAUCACAUUUAAUAUUAACAAAAAUAAAUUAAAAAAAAGUCUCAAUAUUUCAAAAACCCACUAUUGACCAAAGCAGCACUUGGGCAGUAGCAAAAAUAUAUAUAUAUAUAUAUAUAUAUNNNNNNNNNNNNNNNNNNNNUAUAUAUAUAUAAUCAAGUUCAUAUACAAACUCAUCAAGAGUAGUACUUGAUCAAUAUACUUGUUCAUACAAAAUAUAUACUAGAAAAUGAACUAGUGACUAUGAAGGGUUGUCAAUUGAAUCAAUGCCUCCAUCAUCAUGAUCAUCAUCAUUGGGCUGCUCCUGGGGUGGGACUGCCGGCUGGCAUACGCCAAAUUUGGUGAAGAGAAACUGCUCACAUUGUUGAAGACGUAUCAUGAUUUGUAUGUUCUCUUCUUUGGCUUUUCAGGCUUCCUCAUUGGCUUUCCGGGCUUCCUCCUUGGCCUUUCGAGCUUUCUCCACAGCAAUAUCAACAAGUGCAGCUCGUUGGGAACGUGAAGUACAGCUCCUAUCGGGCCCUUGACUUAAACCAUAACUGCCUACUAGUCUCAUGCCCCAGAUCUCGUUCAUGUUUCUAUGUCCAAAUGCUUUUUCAAACACGAUUGCCUGAGUUUGUUGGUCAAAAUGAAGAUCAAUAUCUUCUUCCGGAAUGCCAGGGUAUUUCUUCCUCACAUUGUCACGGAUCUCAUCAACCUUCUCCAUCAGUUUAGCCUAACAAAAGAAGUAUAUGUUUUACAAAAACAAUUAAUAUGGAGAAUAGAGUUUUGAGGGCAGUAAUAUCUAUAUUGCUGAAAGUCAUUAAUCAUAGGCUCUCAUCUAGCAUUAUUAACCCAUCUAUAUAUAUUGAUUACCACCAAGACUUGGCUUCUCUCCUUGGAGAAGUUUUACUCAGAUCUGCUUGAAUUUCAAUACUAAGCUGCCACAUCAUCUAAAACUAAUCCAAAGGCCAGCAAUGAAAAACUAUUUUACACCAACCACACCGAAUCAACUACCACUUCUUCUGCAAAAGCCAUGACUACCCAGAAAGAAACAACUUCUUCUUUUACAAAAUGGUCUUAUUCGGGAUGUGUAUCCGGUUAAGGGCACCCUCUUCUGGCAAUUACGCCGGCGACAAUUGGACUCGCAAUGGUCUUCUGCAAACGCAAGAUAAGAUAAAGCUCUCUCUAUUAUGUUCUCUCCUCACUCACCAUCAACGUUGCCGCACAAUUUCACUUCAUUCAAUUUCGUAUAAAUAUGCGAGAUUUAGAAGCUUGAGAAUUAGAUCUAUCGGAUUUUCUCGCAUCUGAUCUCGUAAAUUUCGUGGAUUGGCUCCGACAUCAGCAUUUGACUUGUGAAUUGGAAGAGUUUAGAUAAUUGUUCAACAUUGAAGCUCCGAUUCAGUCUGCAAAGUUUAUGACAAGACUUGAAAUGGGAUUUUGAUGACUUGAAUUGAACUGGAGAUAGGCUUGAAAGUUCAUUUAUGUCACGUACAGAAGGCAAGGAGGUUGAGAGAGGAUAAAGUGAGAGAGGAUAAAGAGGAGAGAUUGAUCUGAUAUGGGUAGCUUCAGCUUUGUUUAUUCGAAAACUUUCACUGCUGGCCCUUGGAUUGGUUUUAGAUGACGUGGCAGCUUGGUAUUGAAAUCCAAGUAGAUCUGAGCAAGACUUCUCCAAGCAGAGAAGCCAAGUCCUUACCACCACAUGUUAAUCAACUUGCAUAUAUCAAGGUAUCAAGAAACUUUGCCUGAGAUGCACUAUGCAUGACAUUAACUGCCACAAUUUUUUUUUGAAAAGUCACUAGUAUAUGUUCCUUAUUGUGGUUUUUGCUUAUGGCAUGUAUUAUUAUAUAUUACAAGUUACUCAUGCAGUAGGCAGGAAGUAAUGCAAGUUAACUAGUUAAUAUCAUGCAAAAAAAAAAAAACUAAUUCACAAUAUUGUUGGCUUCCAGAGACCAAGAGGUAAUGCAAAGGCAGGAUGUAAACCACUUACUUCAUUUUCAGCUGCUUUCAGGUUGUGAGUUGAGUCAUACGCCUGUGAGUAACGUUUAAUAAAAUAGAGGUGUUCACCCUUGUCCUUCAAUUCGUUUGCAUUGUAGAUGAAAGGCCUCGCCCCGGUGUGGUGGUGCAAUGUCUUCUUGUCCCGGUUACUCUUGUUUGCAGUCGAUCUUCUCUGUAAUUUCAUCAUAUUAACACUUUGGUUAUUAACAUCAAACUUAAUCAUUAAAAACCACAAACACAAAACUGACCAAAUGAACAGUAGUAAUACAAAACCCAGAUAUAUACUUGUACCCAGAGAAACUGUUGUAGUAAUGCAAGUAAUAUAUAGACUUGUACCUAGAGAAACUGCUGUAGUAAUCAGUGGAAUAUAUAUACUUGUAUCUAGAGAAAAUGCAAGUAAUAUACUUGUACCUUAAUCUACCUUGUACAGCAAAGAAAAAACUAAAGCCUUCUUUAUUUUCUGCUGGAUACAAAGUUAACCAAUUGAACUGAUCAUUCGAAGGAGCCAGAGAAUGGGGAGUAACAAUUGCAGCUGAUCAAUGGAUUGCCUUGUCAUAAGUUAAAAAAAAAUCUACCAACUUUUUGUGUUACACAAAAUGUCUCAAACUUUAAACAGAUCAAUACUUUUGGUAGUCUAAAAUCCAGUAUACUUCUUCUCUACUCACAAGUUUGUGUUUGCUAAGAGAAUGAUGGGGCUAUUUCCGCAUUGCUUAAAAAAACCAAAUUCUAAACCACUUUGGUAAUUCAACAUGGAAGGAUUCAAUAAGGGAUUCCAAGAUCUCAAGUCUAUGGGAAAGAGGCGAAAUGGAUGACGUUGAUAUGAAAUAACAAGCACAAUAUAUGGAUGCAAUAGAGGUUCAAUAACCUACACAGAUUUCAAAACAAGGGUAUCUUCAGCAUUGGCCUGAGGACUAAUUAAUCAAAAACUCAAGAAACUAUAGCCUCCUACAAUUUGUUUCAGAAAUAUGUCAUUCAGCAUUAGAAAAAGACAUGCAAAAGCCACAAAGUAUCUUCAAUUGAGUCCUUGGCAUCAAUUUUAUUUUUUUACCGAUUUCAAAUAUGGCAAAGAAAAAAAAGAACCAAGAAACUGGUUUUCCAAAAAUCAACAUGGUCAGAAACAAGGAAGAACAACAAAGGCAAAACAACCUCGGCACCAACUAGCAAUAACCAGCUACACAUACAUGUAUAAGUACACAAAAUGAACACUGAAUACAAUAAGGGAGAAACUAAUCCUUUUGAAUAAACCAACAAACUUUUGAUUAAAUCAACAAACUUUCAGUAGCAACAGUUAGUUAUUAAAUGAAAGUAAUAUACCGUGAAUCCAUCAGACUUGAAGUGUUUGAGGAGCCAGUUCCACUCACACUACCAGAAGAAAGACUUUAGCCGACGAAAAUAAAAAAACCAGGCUGACGAAUUAUUUUUUCGUCGGCUAAUUAAAAAUUUUCGUCGUCUGAAUAAUUUUUUUCGUCGGCUAUAGUCUGUGAACUUUAGCCGACGAAAUUUUUAAAAUUUUAUCCGACGAAAAAUAUAAUUUCGUCGGCUAAAGUGCCUUAAUUUCGUCGGCUAAAGUGUCUUAUAUUUGCAGAUCUGGACAACAACUCAUCUGGGAAAAAAAACUAAUACGUAGAACCUUCAAACGUAAAAAAGUCGUGAAAUAAGAUAUGACCAGAAUGGUGAAAUACGUUUACGGUUGAAAAAUCACGGUAUUCCGAUAAAGUCUCGGUGCCGAUAGUUGCGGUCAAUGCAAUUGACUCUUAUUAUUCACUAUGCUGCAGAUUUGGUUUUUGGUGUCCGAUUGACUAUUGUGAUACCUUUCCGGAAGCGUAACGGUCCUACGAGUCAAACUCAGUGUUAAUGACAUGACGUAUGGGCCUUUUUGGUCAUCGGAGUCCGUUUAGGGCUUCAAAAUGCAGUUUUUUUAUUUCCGAUUAGAGUUGACCGUUUUGUUCGAGCCCUUAACGUUGUCGAAUCCAGUUGAAUUUUUUACCAUAAACAUCUUUCAUCAUAAUGAUCAUAUCUGACGGUCGAAUUUUGGUUUGUAAAUUUUAGUCAUCGGAAUCACGUGUCUACUAUUUACCGUUAUUAUUCCCUAUGGGGAGCCCUAUCGUCGGAAGGUAAAUGUCUCAAAAUUUUUAUAUGGGCAGUUGCGUCUCUUCUACGUGAGAGUUUUUUGUGUGGAAGGUUUGACCAAACCACGUAAUAUAGAGGGAGAUAUGAGCGUUUUCGUGUGAUAAGUGACGAUGGAUUAGGGUUGACCGUUUCAAUCGAGUCCUUAAUGUUGUCGGAUCCAGUUGAAAUUUUUACCAUAGACAUCUUUCGUCAUAAUGAUCAUAUCUGACGGUUGAAUUUUGGUUUGUGAAUUUAGUCAUCGGAAUCACAACGUGUCUACUAAUGUUGUAUAACUUGUUUAGUAGGUUAUACAACUUUGUGAACCAACUCUAUAUAGGAAGCAAAAUUAUCAAAAAUCUUGUGAAAUAAGAUGUGUUCAGAAUGGUGAAAUACGGCUAUGGUUCAAAAAUCACGUAAAUUAGGUAAAGUCUCGGUGCCGAUAGUAGCGGUCAACCCUAUUUACUGUUAUUAUUCCCUAUGGGGAGCCCUAUCGUCGGAAGGUAAAUGUCUCAAAAUUUGUAUAUAGGCGGUUGCGUCUCAUCUAUGUGAAAGUUUUUCGUGUGGAAUGUUUGACCAAACUACGUAAUAUAGAGGGAGAUAUGAGCGUUUUCGUGAAUUUAUAGACUUUAGCCAACGAGAUAUUAAAAAAGUCGUCGGCUAAGGUCAAAAAUUUUUGAGCAGUAAACCAAAUUUGGAGGAAAAUUUUCAAAGGACUUUAGCCGACGAAAAUAUAUGAAAAGUCGUCGGCUAAAGUCGAAAAAUUUUCAAAAUUUUCAACCAAAAUUUUUUGACGGUCAACCAAAAUUUUCAAAAUUUUCAAAAGAGUUUAGCCGACGAAAAUAAAGAAUUUCGUCAGCGAAAGUUCUUUAUAUAGGAGUUUUACCGAAGGUGGAUGGUAAGAAGUCUGUUUCGCCUGCCAGAUUUUCUUCUCGGCCUACCUCUGCCGUUAAGCCACCGGAUACCGCCACACUUGUCCCAAAAGCUUCGCCGUCGUCUCUACUUCAUUGCUGGAUAGGUGGUGCAUCGAGUGGCGCCGCCGUGAGGGAUAAAUCGAGCUCCAAAACUCGGCCAGUUCGGAUUCGGUGUCGAUCGAAUUUCUCCUUCCUCAGGUCACCAUUUGGUGAGUUCUAUAUAUGGAUAAGUUGAGUUUGAUUAGUACUACAUUCCCCUAGAAUUUGGUAGCUCGAUUCGGUAUGUGUGAGGAGAAUUGAAGAUUUGAAGUUUUUAGGGUUUAAAAUUAGGGAUUUUUAUAUUUUGAUUCAAUUGACCUGUUUAGGCUUAGAAUUGGGCUUCGACUUCUUCUAGAAAGUUGUUCGAAAUAUUGAGAGGAAGAUUCUGUCAAAUUUUAGUGGUGAUUGGAGGUGGCCGAAAGUUUCUGCAGUUUUUUUUUUCAAAAACCAGCAACUUUAGCCGACGAAAUUUGGUAAGUAUUUUUAAAUAGCCGACGAUAUUUAAAGGUUUAUUCGUCGGCUAUAGUAUUUUUAAAUUUUUUAUAAGGUUUAGCUGACGAAACAGACUAUAUUUCGUCGGCUAUAGUCUGGGAAAAAAAUUUUUAUUACAGACUUUAGCCGACGAAUAUCUUAAUUGUUUCGUCGUCUAAAGUCUGGGAAAAAAACCGACGACAUGUUUUUCGUCAGCUAAACUGUGGGACUAUAGUCGACAAAAUUUUUUUUUUUCGUCGGCUAAAGUCACCACAGACGACCUUUUCCUGACGAAAUCUUAGCUGACGAUGGCUUGUCGGCUAAGAUCUUAGCCGACGAAUUAAGCUAACAGGCUAACGAAACUUUUUCGUCAGCUAAAGUGUUUGUCCUGGUAGUGUCAUCCAGCCGAUGUUCAAACUCUUCUUGGAUCUUCCUCGGGUUUGCUUCCUAAUUGUAUUUAUAGUGCACUUCCAAUUUUUGUACACAUUUUUAGCCUUGUCGUCCAACCACUUCCACAUGAGCUUAUCUUCAACAUCAAACUCAUAAAAGAUCUGUUAAAACAUGAACAACAUUAUUUAUCUCAUAAUUCUACAACUAAUUAAGCAUUGAGUGAACACAUGAACAACAGAAAAAGUCCUUACAAAGAGUUUAGUGGGCAGCUUCUUCUGCUCAUCAUCAGUAGUGUCACCCCAAGUUGGAGCCACCAUGGAAAUUUCGUCCCGUAUAAUGUGGCCGACGUCGUGUGUCAACAUGCUGCUUAACUCUUUACUCUUCAGACCGUGGCAGAAAUCGUCCCAAGUUACUUUAAUCUUGAAUCCAGUCCUCUUGACUAUCUCCUCCGCUUUUAAGCCUUUUACCACCCCUGUCUUGGUAUUAGGGGGAGGUGCUGCGAAAAAAAAAACAGUUUCUGUCAAAACCAAAUGCAAAAGAAACAAACGAUCAAUAAGUGAAGAGGCCAGUGCAAUAUGAAAACAUGCUUGGUAGGUCAAGAUGUAGUUCAAGCAACAAAAAAAGAUGGAUACACUGCAAUAUGUGAAGCACCAGUUAUGAAUUUAUGAACUACUUUGAUGCAUAUUCUAAUCUCUUUUUCCACAUUUUAUAAAUCGAUCAAUAUACCAAAGUUAAAUAUCCUAUAGCUUAGACACUCUCUCUUAAGCCUAUGUCUAAGUAAGUCCACAAUGUGCAUAACAUAGCAAAAAGUAAAAUAGAAUAAGAGAAGAACCAAGCAAUACCAUAUAAGAUGACACCACAUGCAGCGGAUAACAAAUGACAGUAGCCUUAUCCAAAAUUUAUUCCAAAAUAUGCAUGUUAAAAUCCAUGAAAUUGCAUUAAGGAUGCAUAAAAUGCAGUUUUGUUACAAAACCACUAGGGAACCUAGUUUUAUUUCCACUGAUUCUCAUUCACCAAUCACACAAGUCGAGGUCUCCUAGGGAUAACAGAAUUGAGCAGCUACCACUUCUAAAUGAAUUUGCCGAUAACCAACACCAUCUCAAUGUAUAAAAAUAUUAAUGCAUACAAGAACCAACGCCAUGAUCUACAAUAUCAUAGCUAUCCCCCCGAUCAAAGCAUAUUAAUUUCUAUAGCUCAAGAUCUAACACUAGCUAAAAGCUCACUGACUCCUACACAAGCAAAUCAAAUUCCUUCCGAAAGAUACACAUAAUCCAUGAACACCAUCCUAAUAAAACGCAAUUUGGUGUUAUCAUCAAAAACAUGACUUUAUGAUAAUAAUAACAACAAUACUCAGAAACCAAUAUCCAAACCAAUAUCCAAAAUUUACUCAUUCACUACACAAAACCUAGAAACCAAUAUCCAAAAUUUACUACACCCAACUAGAAAAUCAAAAGGUUAAGAGGCAGAUGAGUACGGGUGAGGAAAAUUACCUCCUUUAGGAUGCGGUUUGCUCCGAACGCUGAUGAUACACCCCGAACCUAGUAAUUAUUUUUAUAUUAUGAUUUCCGGUUUAGUGGUAGCUAAUCAAUUCGGAAAUUUAGUAUGUUAUCCUUCAUAGAGGUGGUCUAGUCGAGUUCAUUGAUUUUUUUAGUUACCCGAAUAAGAGUUCGUAAAUGAAGGGUAGUUAAAUAAUAAUAGUACCCAUUUUUGGGCUUAGGCAUUUAAGGGAGACUUACCUUUUGGUUAAGGUAAAAAAAUUAGAAAAUACACAUCCCUCAUCCUUUCUCUCUCCCCGAGCCCGACCCUAACCCCGAACCGUCCGGCUUCUCCCCGACCGAUCGCCACCGUCCAACCACGCCUGGCCACCACACGGGUCGCGUCUAGCAGCUGGGACACCGCUCGUCCAGCCUGGGGUGGUGACCGGUCCUUACUUGCUGGCAUUAAGGCGCGGUGACGCCGCUGCUGCCGCGUGGUUGCUCUUGCCAGAACUCCCUUCUCCAGCCAUCAAUUCAAGGUAUCUUUGGGGGGUUUUGUAGCUCUUUGAUUAGUCUUUGAACCACCCAAAAGAGGUAGAACGAUUUGGAGUAUAGAGCAAAUCGGAGCUCUUGAGUUCUUGAGUUUAUAAUGAGUUUUCCGGCCAAAUCUUUGAGCUCUAGAGUUUGUGUUAGUCAUGAUUGUUGUUAUGCUUAAUGAGAGGAAGAGUUUGAUGUAUGCCUUGUUAAUUUUGGUUGAAGUUGAUCUAGUGGUGGUGGUUGACCGCCAUUGCCGGCGGUUGACCGCCACAGCCGGUGACUGCUGCCGGUUUUGGUGGUGGUUUUGAGUAAUUUUGGAUGAGUUCUAGAAGGGAUAAAUGUUGUUGUAUUGUAUGGUGAUUUUUGGUGAAGAGUGUUUGGAAUUUGGGAUAGUUUUGAUGGCUCCAUGGGUGAGAGAUGAGUGGUAUUGAAGUAUUGGAAAUUUUGGUGAGUGUUAGUAGGAAUUUAGGAAAGUUUAAGUCGAUUUUGGUGAAAGAGUAGAGGUGAGCCUCAUCCUUGGGAAUUUCCAUAUUUUUCAUUAUGUGUUAGAACGUUGAGGAGAAAUUGGAGAUGAUUAGUAAAAAUAAGGUUGGAGUUCUUCUUAGGUUUGGAUGAGUAUAGAGUAAGUGAGGAGGACUUUAUAUUUAUUAAAUUUGAUAUUCUUGUAUUUUUGUCUCGGACCUUAAAUCUCGUUUUGUACAGGACGAGAGGAGACACCACGUGAGGAGGGCUCUGACCGACGUCAGGCAUAGCCGUCUAUAUUGUGAGUGGACACUUUGUUUUUAAUGAAAUAUGCAUGCAUGAUUGGAGAUUUGAAAUAUGUGGGUUAUCUGGCUUAAUUAUUAUUUUGCGCAUUUUAACGUGUGGGACACGUUAUUAAAUUUAAUUUAUUUAUUUCUUAUGCUAUAUUUGUGGAUUAUAUGAUGUCAAUGCUACUAUGUCGUUCCACCUCUCGAGGUGAUGUGACUCUCACGUUUCAAGUGGGGUCACGUAAGCCCUUUCCACCCUAGUGGUGAUGUGAUGUUGCCGGCGGCAUCACGCAAGCCCUGUGCUCUAUCCAUCCACUCGACGUGAAGGUACAGGGAGUAUGGGAGUACUAUGCCUAGGAGGCAACCGAGUCUGGGAGACUCACUUAUAUGGCCAUAUAGGAUAUUCUAUUUGAGUUGUUAAUUUGACUAGCGGGGCUAGUCCAUUAUUUUGAAAGUUUCUUGAAUGAGAAAUCUAUUUAUUUUUUUUAUUGUUUUAUGACUAGCGGGGCUAGUGUGAAUUUUUGUUGAGUUUAUAAUAUUUUCAUGCAUGAAAAUUCUUGAAUUCUGUAAAAAUGGAAAAGCAUAUAAAAAUUUGAUUUAGUAUCUUUAUGCUCUUGGAUACUUAUUAAUUAGUUUAUUUUUCGUACACUCACGCUAACGUUUUUAAAUGCCUGGGCCCUUUGUUUUCAAAUGCCUUUCCCUGGGCCCUUUGUUUUCAAAUGCCCAGAUUGCAGAGCUCCUGUUCGGUUUCACUAGGAGUUGAGGCAUAGUUUUCCGCUGCACCUUGUUGACCGUAGGUUACCUGUUAACCUAUGUGUAGUAUUAUAUUUCUUUCUUGUAGUGCUCUGAUGACCAUCGGGAGAUGUAAAAUAAGUUGGAGUUAUUUUUAAGGGUUAUAACCCAAGUAGGGAGUUUAACUUUGGUUGGUGUUUGUGUUUAAAUAUCGUAGUUGAAUAUUGGGUUUGAAUUGGUUAAGUGCUGUUAUGACUUGGAUUUUGUUGUGGGGAGCGAAGGACUCCAGGAGAUGUGGUUGUUUGAUAUAGUUGAAGUGUUCUUGGUUCUUUUCUCGCAGGUUGGGUUGUCCAUUUUUAGGGGGGAUUAUGCCGAAAUUUCGGUAUAAUCUCUUUUAAGAGUGGAUCCCGCAAGACUUGCCUGUUUUUCUAUGUGUUUUCAGGGCGGGUCUUGUCAGCUGAUCUUAGCAGAUGACUGGCCAGUCCGAUGAUCAUCUGUGGAAGGUUCGUCGACAUCGGGCAGUGGUGGAGGGAGAGGAGGUGCCAAACUUGACGGAGGCGCCACAGGCCGCGAGGGGACCUCUGUGGGGCGUCAAUAUUGCUGGGCCACCUCCUGCAUCAGUCGUUGAGACGGUUCCGCCUAUCACUUCCACUUCCCACUAGUCGGCGGCAUAGUGGAUGGAUGUGGCGCAAGGGAGGAGACGGCUUGGAAUCGGAGGAGGAGACGGUGAUGUGGAGGAGGAGAUGGCUUGGAAAGUUGGAAUUUAGGGAUGUGGAGGAGGAGGAUACGAUCGAUUUAGGGAUUUCAGAGUUAAGACUCGUUGCCCGGCCUCUAUCUGGGUUUACAAACCAAACUCAGCCCACGAAUGAAGCUGUUUCAUCAGUUAAGUGAAACCAAAAAUUUGGCCCAAAAAAUUGGCAAAAUUUUUGACCCGCCAAAUAUUAAGUAGUUAGGUGACGAAUACAUGAACUUUCGUCAUCUCAGUGAACCAAAAAUAUUUCUACCAUUUUCAAAUUUUGGGACUUAAUUGACGAAAACCUAAAAAGAAAAGGUUUUCAUAUAAGUUUUGGAAAUAAUGAGGUAUCUCCUAAAAAGAAAUAGUUUUGAUACAAGGAUUUUUCUUUUUUUCCUAAAAAAUACAUUUGACAAUACAAUACAAAUGUAAUUAAAGAAAUUAUAAAUUAAAGAGUGAAAUAUAUAGAACAGAUGACGAUAGAGAUUGAAGAGUAGAUCGAUUGAAACAAGUCCAAACCCGGUUUGUUCUAGAUUUGGCAUUCGGUGUCCGAUUGACUAUUAUGAUACCUUUCUGGAAGCGGAAUGGCCCAACAAACCAAACUCGUCGAUAUGCCACGACGUAUGGGCUUUUUAGGCCAUCCGAGUCCGUUUAGGCUUUCAAAAUGCGGAUUUACUUAUUUUCAGGCAUUAUUUUUAAUAGUUUGUUUUCGAUUUGGUUUUCUUUUAAUCCAUGGGCUUUUAGGCUUUGAUGUUAGUUGCCCUACGGUUUAUUUGCUCCUAUAUAACUAGCAUUUAUCAGUUGUAGUCGUCAGCUUUCAUAUUAAUAAAAAAUCUUGAGUUUAUCUUAAUUCUCUGGUGGAUUCCAGAAUUCCUCUCGUGGAUUCGAGAGAACUAGACUUGUGAAUUCAAGUCACUGUUGGUGGAUUCUAACGUUUAUAUUUCCGCUACAUCAAAGAGAAAUUUAAAGUAUUACACACUCAAUUUCUGUCAUAUUAAAAAAUACCACUCAUUAAAAGAAAUUAACAUAAGUCAGACGUCAUUGACAUCAUAAUCCUCAUCCUCCGUAUCAUCGUCCUCUUCGUCUUCGUCUUCCUCUUCAUCCUCCUCAUAAUGCGGCUCUUCAUCUUCGUUCUCAUCUUCAUCCUCCUCAUUGUCAACAUGUGGGACUUGAGAUCCAUAAAUUGUAAUGAACGCAUUCCCAUGUACGUAGUGGGGGUCAUUGUUGAUGCGAAUAGUCUGUGUAUCUGGAAUAUAAUUGCUUAACUCUUCUUGAUAUGGUUCUGGCGCCUCUUCUUCAUCACAUGCUCCUUCUGCAUCCCCUUCAAGCGUAGAUGCACUCCAUAUGUUUCGGUGAGACAUCACAUUUACCACCUCGGUAAACUUGGGUCAGUGUUAAACCAUUUACACUUGAACAACACAACUAGCAUACCAGCUCCAUAUAAUAAUUCAACAACGGAGAGUAUGAUCCCGUAGUAGCAAAUUUCAUCCCCCUCUACCAUGAUCCCAUAGUUUUGAGUGACCCGCUCUUCAUCUCGGUAGAACGUCACAAACUUAACACCGUUAACAAAACACCCCCCAUGUACACUGUGAUGUUGCGGCUUACAUGCCAAAUUGUGUAACUCCUGUGAGUAAUCAGGGUUGCUCUCUCAUAGGAGUUCUUCCAUCUAAAAAAGAAAUAAUGAAUAACUCAUAAGUGAUGGGACUAUGUAAACAAUAUCGCCAAUAAAUAAUAAAAUGGAGAUUGAACUUACCCAAUUAAGAAAGUAAUCAGGAAAAGUUCUCUUGUGCAUCUCUUCAGCUCUAUAUGGUUGUCUUGCUAUGAUUUUUUCCAAAUGUUUCUUUUUGUAGUAGUCAAUCUCAGAGCAGUGGUCCAGCACGCACCAAUGAGCUUCACGGAGCUCAGCUUUUGUUAACUUGUUCGAAUUUGGUAAGUUACCAAAUGAACGUACAACUUUUGAAACAACUGAAAGAUUGAAGACAUUUGUGGAUGACUCUGCCUCGGUUGUGUUACUAUGACAUAAGUCGUAGUAAGUUACACACUCAUUUAAGAGGUAUGUGUUCGCUAUUGACCCUUCUAGUUUUCCUCUGUUGCCGACAUAUUUUUUGUACUCCCCAAGUUGUCUAAAAUUUAAGAUGUUAUUACUGUACAAACAAUAAAAUGUAAAUGUAAACUGGUGAUAAAAGUGUGCAAUGUACCUUUCUUAUGAGAACAUACAGGUAUAGUGUACUGGACCAGUACCAUCGCUUGUUCUGGUAGGUGGAUCAUGAGGUGAAUCAUGAUGUCGAAAAAAGAAGGCGGGAAAAUCCGCUCCAACUUGCACAUGAUGUAGACAAUGUCCUCUUUUAAUCUAAGAACAUUUGACUUCUCUAGCUCUCUAGCACAUAACUUCUGAAAGAAUUUAGACACCGCUACUAACGGCUCUACCACAUCAGGACACAAAUAUGGUCGAAUUACCACUGGAAAAAAAACGUUGUAGCAUGAUAUGACAGUCAUGAGUCUUUAAUCCAAAUAGCUUAUUCUCCCCCACUUUUACACAUCGAGAUAUAUUUCCUGCAUAACCAUGAGGAUACUUAAUAGCUUCAAACCAUUUGAAAACUUUCUUCUCAUUAGCCGGAUUAAUCCUGUAAUGUGCAAGAGGCAUUGACCCCGACGUUGUUAGCCACAAGUGAGGGCGUAUGUUCAUGAGUUGAAGAUCUUUGCGCGCCUUCACAAUGUCCUUAGUCUUAUCUUUAAACCCGAAAACUGUUCCCACAAUGCUGUUACAAACAUUCUUCUCUAUAUGCAUGACAUCAAGGCAGUGUCUUAUUCUCAAUUUCUUCCAGUAAGGCAAUUCAAAAAAUAUACUCUUGUGCGUCCAGUUCUCCAAUCUAGAAGGACGUUUUGGAUUCCGAGCUAACACGUCAGGAUCACUGCUAAGACGUCCGAAAUCAAAAGAGUUUAACAUGUCCAAAAUCCACUCACCAGACCGCUCUUAGAGUUUUAAAGCAAACUCUUGCUUCCCAUCGAAUGAAGCCACAUCAAAUCGCCAUGGAUGAUCUUCCGGAAGCCCUGUACGACUCCCCAAGUAACACACCUUUCCAGCAUGCCAACUAGCAUUUAGGUCUCCUAAGCAAAUUGGACAAGCCAUGUAACCUUUAGUGGUUUGAGACGACAACAUCUCAUAUCCAGGAAAAUCACUAAUGGUCCAAACCACUGUUGCUUUCAUCCUGAAUGAAGUUUGACUAUACCAGUCAAAAGUAGGGACUCUAUUUUCCCAUAAUUCUUUUAACUCGUCAAUCAAUGGUCUCAUGUACACAUCAAGACAUUAACAAAGUCAGCAUACUAAAUUCCUUCUUCAUACACAUCCAUGGAGGUAGGUUGUACACCACAACAAUAACAGGCCAAAUACUAUAAGACAAAUUCAUGUUUCAGGUAGGAUUAAACCCGUCCAAGUCUUACAUUUCGAAUGUCUUCUGCAAAAUCAGGAAAUGAUCUGUCAAAUGAUUUCCAAACCUCCCCAUCUGCGGAUUGUCUGAGAGUGUCAUCAUUUUUUCUCGUUACCCCGUGCCAUCUCAUCUUUUCUGAAGUGUGUGAAGACAUGUACAUACGCUUCAACCUAGGAAUCAAUGGGAAAUAAUGAAGCACCUUCUUUGGAAUCCUUUUCUUCUUAGAUGAAGAAGAUGAUGACUUCCACCUCAACGCUUUGCACACUGGACAGUAAUCUAGGUCUUUGUUGAUGACUCCAUAAAACAAAACGUAGUUAUUCUUGCAUGCGUCAUUCUCAUAACCGAGGCCAAGAUCUUUCAACAUACUCUGUACCUUAUCAAAGCUGUGGGGAAAGUUGUUUCCUGGAGGAAGCAAUUUCUUGAUGUUCACCAAGUUACGGUUAAAUGACACAUUCGACCAAUUGCUGUCAACUUUGGUUAUAAUCUGUUCAAUGAUGGCACCCAAGACAGUUACAUUACACCCAGGGUACAAUGGGGUCUGUGCUUUAUCAAGCAGCCUAUUAUACUUAUCGUAAUCAUCAUUGUCAACAUUUGAAAAAGCAUAGUCUGCAUCAGUGGUCUCGUAAACAACCUCUUCCUCAUGUCUUGCAGCAAAUGAAGAAAAAGCAUCAUGUAUAAUGUCCAUAGAAGGAUCCACAUAAGGGUCGAAACUACUGCUGGAUGAGCCAGCAUGCUAAAAGUGUCCCGCUCGGAUUUCUUCCAAGGUAGGUUCAUUAUCUAAUGUUUCACCAUGUAGACUCCAUGUAAUACGUCUUGUAUUCAGGUGUUCGUGGAUUUCAUAAAUCGUCUUCCACUUAGUAUUAUGACAUUCAACACACGGACACCUGUGUAGAGUUCUGCCAUCAGCAUGUUUAAGUACAAAUAACAAAAAAUCUAGAAUUCUUUGUUGGUAUUCAGGGUUCCCCCAGUCGUACUGCAUCCAUCUCUUGUCCAUGUCCUGUCAUAUAUAUAAACAACAAAUAAGCAAUAGUAGUUCAAAAAACACAACAACAAAAACAUGUAUUUGAUUGCUAAGUUAUGUUUCUAAGUUAUAAACAUAACAAAAUUAUGUUCUCCUAAAAUGAUUCUUGAAUUGUCCCAUUCAGGAGAACACGAUUUUGUUUCUAAGUUUAUAAUUCUUGUCUUUUCGAUUUCGAUGUGGGAAAAUUUCGGUAGCAUCUUCCUAUAGUCCCUCUAGUGUAUAAAUAACUAUACCUAGUAUGCACUCGAGGAACAGUAACGAGAGACAGUGUCGAAACAUAUACCCACAACCGAAAACGAAAAGACAAGAACAACAAACUACAUAACAAAAUUAUGUUCUCCUAAACUGUCCAAAAAUGGGACAAUUCAAGAAUCAUUUUGUCAAACACAGUUGUGACAAGAUUGUGACAAGAUGAUUCUCAAACGGGAUUUCUAAAGUUCAAAUUUAGGUGAAUGAAAGAAUAUAAUCUUAUAUUCUUAUAUUUGAUUAUCACAAAAUAAACACAACAUAUAUAAUCAUUUGAAUGCACAAAAAAUUUUCACAAAACCAAACAAUUAAGUAUAUUUACAUAUAUCCCUAACAUAAUUAAAUAAUUUUCUCAAAACCUAAUAAUAGUAAAGCAUAUAUAUAAUCAACAAAUUAAACUAAUUAACUCUAAUAUUCACAAAUUAAAAUAACUAACUUUAAAAAUCAACAAUUAAGAAUCAACAUAUAUAUAUAUAUAUAUAUAUAUAUAUAUAUAUAUCAAUCCACAUUAAUCAUCACCCAACAAUAUUAACAACACGCUUGUGACCGGAAUCUUCGCCAGAAAACUCAUUGGAAAACAUGAAAAAAUAUGGUGGAGAAAGAGAGAGAAAGAGAUUAUACCAAACUAUAAAUCAAUGCAUAGGUAGACAAGCAAAGGUUUCAGAGACUGGCCUGAAUUUGAAAGGCUUCACACCGGGUAUUGAAAAUCGAAGCAAAUUUUGAGAGAGAGAAUUGAGUGUUUUGAAAUGAGAGAUGCAGAUCUAGAAACGCAGUAGGGUGUUAUAAAAGCAAGUUCAGUAAGGUGACGAAAUAAAUACUUUCAUCACCAGAGUAACCUGUUACAUGACGAAACAUAUUUUCGUCACCUAAGAGAGAACACUUUAGUGACGAAAAAAUGUUUCGUCACCUACCCCAUCACUUACAUGACGAAUUAAAUUUUCGUCACCUAAGUGCUACAAACUUUGGUGACGAAAAUUUAAUUCAUCACGUACACCAUCACUUAAAUGAUGAAACAUAUUUUCGUCACCUAAGUGCUAAAAGCUUUGGUGACGAAAAUAUUUUUCGUCACCUAUCUUGUCACUUACAUGACGAAAUAUAUUUUCGUCACCUAAGAGAGAAACCCUUUUGUGUCGAAAAUAUUUUUCGUCACCUUCCCUAUAACUUACAUGACAAAAGUUAUUUUCGUCACCUAAGUGAGAUCUAAGGUGACAAAAUGAGUGACGAAAUAACCUUACCUGACUUAGAUGACGAAAACUUGUACUGAGGUGACGAAACGGGUUUCAUCACUAAAGUGUUCUCUUAGGUGAUGAAUUAUAAAUAUUUCGUCACCUUAGAACCUUUUUCUGGUAGUAUAUACUUCAAUCAGCGUUGGCGAGAUUCAAAUUUAGAUAUGAUAGUUUCACACAUAGGCUCUUAACAACUCGACUACCUAUGGUAGUUACUGUUUACUUAUUCAUAAUUGUGAUGAUUACUAAAGAUAUAAGUGUCAAAUAAUUGAAAUAUAUAAAAACAAUAACAUUUAUAUUUAUACUAUAUACUAAAACUCAGUUCCCUUAGGAACAAGAACGUACCAUUUGUCAUUCUUUCCGUUUUUAUUACAACCCUGCCACUCGCUUUAAUAUAUGUAAUUUACAUUUUUGUCCAUAUUUUUCAUUUUUUUAAAACUUUAUCAUUUAGGGAUCAAAAUUACCUUUUUAUCUAUCUUUUUGGUUUUUACAUUUGAUCUUUUUUCAUGUUUUGGCCCCAAACAAAGCUUGGGUACACCGCCUAGUUGAAGCUAAUGAAGCUUUUACGACUCUAUAUGAGUAGGAGAUCGAUAAACAUAUACUAGAGAGAAAUUAAGAACUCUUUAUCAAACGAACUACAAUCACACAAUGAAGGAAAUAUAUCUCCAGUCAAGUGAGCUAUCAACAUCUAACAAAAUGAAAUAUACACUACUACACAUGCUAUAUAAGUAUACAAGAGACUUGGAGAAUGACAUCAGAAAUCAUUCGACAUUGAUAAGUUUUUCUGGGCGAAAUAGGCUUGGUAUGAGCUAAGGCUAGUUAAGUAUACAGGUUUGAAUAUUUCGAUCUCUUCGAAAUGGAAAAUGUCCAAACUCCAAAGUCUAAAGCAACAAAGAGAAUGAGGCCGGGCACUGGCGUUUAGUUGUGUGUGUGUGUGUUUAUUUAUUUAUUUUCCUUUUUUUUUGAAACAAACCUCGCAAAUGCGAGCUAGAAGAUUUAUUAAGAAUAAAUAAAAUUACAUGCACAAGAACAGGACAAAUCCUGCUCCAUCACGAAAUAAAGUUCUUAAAUUAUCGAAAACGGAAAUUGGGAAGACCCAGUUUAUCUCUAAUGCAAAAUUGACUAUUAAAAGUUGGAGAUGAAUCAAACCAAGUAAAACCUGUACUUGAAGCACCAAAAUUGUCCAAAGCAUCAGCCACCUGGUUUCCUUCUCGAAAAAUAUAGGAACAACAGAAUUGCAUCAUUGAAAUCCGAUGCACACAAUUCUUCGAUGAGGGCACUAGCGUUAGAUCGUGCCUAUCUUUUUAACAAAAUUAAAAUACUUAUCACUGCUGCACAAACUAAACUUGGGACCAAAGAAAAUGACAAUUAUGGGAAGAUCAUGGGGGGGGGGGGGGCAGCUCUUCAUAUGGAUUGCCCACCCACUUCCAGUUCUCGUUAUUCCGUCACCUUUUUAUUCCCUGAACCAACAAAAAGAAUAAUGGAACCAAAAUAAAAGGCAGCCAAUUCCUCUAUGGGUAUUGGUCGGUUUCCACCCCCAUAAAAACCUUUAAAAAAUUGUCAGCAAAGUUAAAAGUUUGAAGCACCUCCACUACCAAACCCUAUUAUAUAUACACCCUCCUCAAGCUUUCUGAUUCUGCAUGAACCCCAAACCCCAAAAACCCCUAGUCUUCACCUUGUCCAACUUGCUCAAAUAGUACAACUCAAACUGGCAUUCUUCACUUCCCACUAGUUCCUACUUCCCAAAACGUAGGGUGACAGUGACAAACCAGCCAGCCUUGUUGAGUUUCAGUGAAGUAAACUCUUUCUUUGUUAGAUAUAGCACUCAAAACUCUUUGUUCCCAACAUUGACCAGAACUUAGUGAACCCUUCACCAUGAAGAAGCUUUCCAAAUUGUCACUAGUGUGCGUUAUAUUCUUUGGCUUUUUGCUUCUGUCAACCCAAGCCAGAUGGCAUAACCAUACCAAACACAGCAAACACAACCACCCUCACAAGAUUUCUUACAUUUCACAGCCUCCUUCCUCUUCACCUGGACCUGCUGCUAGCUACAGUCCUCCUCCUGAAGAGCCUAAGAAUCCAUACAACUCCACACCUGGUGUUUUCGAUGUUCGAUUAUAUGGGGCUGUGGGGGAUGGCCAAACAGAUGACACUCAAGCCUUUAAAAUGGCUUGGGACACAGCCUGCCAAAGUGAAUCACCAGCAAAGAUACUUGUUCCGAACCAUUUCACAUUCAUGAUUCAGUCCACAAUAUUUACGGGUCCCUGCCUUUCAGGCCUGGUGUUACAGGUAAUGUACUAAUUCUCUAUCACUUUUUGGCUAACUCAAUGUAAGAAAAAGACUAAAGUCCUUUGGAUACAUUUGGUAAUGUGAAUUAGGUCGAUGGGGUUAUAGUACCACCUGAUGGACCAGAGUCCUGGCCAAAAAACAACAGCAGGCGCCAAUGGCUCGUUUUUUAUCGAAUCAACAAGAUGUCGCUGCAAGGGAGUGGUGUUAUAGAUGGGAGAGGAGACAAAUGGUGGCAACUUCCCUGCAAGCCCCACAUGGUAUUUUGUUUAAGUUGUUCAUAUUUGGUCUUAAACAUUUAGUGAUCUAGGAAACUGCUUACAUUGAUCAAUUUUUCACAGGGAAUAAAUGGAACCACCUUGCCUGGACCAUGUGAUAGCCCAGUUGUAAGUUUCAAAUUUUUUGUUUUAAGUAACAUCAGCUAACUAUAUUAUUGAGCUUUGAUUUAAUAUGAUGAUUUAUUUAUGCAGGCCAUUAGAUUUUUCAUGAGCUCUAACUUGACAGUACAAGGUCUUAGGAUUAAGAAUAGCCCCCAAUUCCACUUCAGAUUUGAUGGUUGCAUAAAUGUGAAUGUAGACUCCAUUUCUAUAUCAGCUCCUGCUCGAAGUCCGAAUACAGAUGGGAUUCACAUAGAGAACACCAAUGAUGUAAAAAUUUAUAAUUCUGUAAUUUCUAAUGGUACGAGCACUGUACUGAACCUUCAAAUCUACUACUUGUCAGCGAAUUGGCUCUCAUGCAUGAUGUUACUAAUAUCACUUCUGUUCUUUAGGUGAUGAUUGUGUAUCAAUUGGAUCAGGCUGUUAUGAUGUAGACAUUAGAAACAUCACUUGUGGCCCUGGUCAUGGAAUCAGGUAAUUCGCUAUUGUUUUGGUUUACUAAUCAGUAUCACAUGAUCUAAUUAAUUUACAAAUUUGUGAUUUUUUAUUUCGACUGACCUUUGUGUUCCUCACCCUUGUGCUUAGCAUUGGGAGUCUCGGAAACCACAACUCGCGAGCCUGUGUUAAAAAUAUUACAGUUCGAGACUCUAUUAUUAGAGUUUCGGAUAAUGGAGUUAGGAUCAAGACAUGGCAGGGUGGAUCCGGAGCAGUGUCCGGAGUAACUUUCAGUAACAUUCACAUGGACAAUGUUAGGAACCCCAUUAUGAUUGAUCAAUUUUACUGCCUUACUAAGCAGUGCAGCAAUCAAACCGCAGCGGUAUAUGUAUCGAACAUCCUAUACUCGGGCAUAAAAGGAACCUAUGAUGUCCGGAAUGCUCCAAUGCAUUUUGGCUGCAGUGAUUCUAUGCCAUGCACCAACUUAACACUCUCAGAUGUUGAGCUUCUUCCAGCUGUAGGAGAUAUGAUGUCAGACCCUUAUUGUUGGAAUGCUUACGGACAACUGCAAACGCUUACUAUUCCACCAGUCUCUUGCUUGUUGGAGGGUGCUCCUAGAACUUUACUGAGCGAUGAAAUAGACCGCUGCUGAUACAUCAGUCCAUGGAUUCAUCUUAGGUCUGUAAAGCAAUUAGAAAUCCAUAACUACAAGAGGAAUUAGGAAUCUUUCUGGAUUGUAAUUCUAAUUUUAAUUGUGUGAUUAUAGAGGAGAGAUAUUUAUGCGCUCCCUAUCUUAUCAUAUAUAUACAAUCUAUGUUUUUCUUCAAGUUCUUGUCCUGGAGAUGAAUUUUUAUAGCUUGUAUUUAGAAAAAGUAUUCUAGCUCUGCUGCUGUAACUCAUGUUUGAUUUGUAGGGAAUGUUGGAUAACCAUUUUACUUGGGAAAAUUGAAUAAGCUGCAGUAAGACGACAAUGUAUAAUUGUAUAUCAACCUAUCAAUAUGGGAUGCACUCUCAGAUAUGUGAAACCAGAUAGAGAAACUGAGAAACUUGCUGGUGUAGGGUUUAGGGUUUAGGGCCCUAAACCUGGUGUAGCCCCACACUAAACCUUGGAAAUUAACCAACAAAGAAUUGGAUGAUGCGAAUUUGAGGCUUCGAGAUUUCAUAUAUAUACCAUCUUAGACAAGCAUGCACUGCAUGUAUAAUCAAACUAUAUAACGACCUUUUCAAAUAAAAGUAAACUGUUAUCUAGCCAUGGAUGCCAUUCACAGAGACUACGGUAAACUUUAGUUUUCUUUCCUUGCAUUCAGCGCACCUUAAAUUAAGCAUUCGAAAAUGCGCAUAUAAUCGGUUAGCAAUUGAGACACCAUGCAGAGCAGGCAUCCACAUAUAGCAGUAGUUUUUUAGGUUCAUGUUGUCAGAUAAAUAAAAGCUUACAUGUACCAGUCUCAUGUUUGUCAAGUUGAUGCAUGGGGCAGCUAGAAUUUUUAAGGUUAACUUGGCUCUCUAACAGCAAAAUCACACUACUUUUAAUAAGGGAUAGUAACUAAUCUUCAUUUGCAGUAGUAGUAAUUAUUAAAUGUGUAAAAGUUCCCAUUUCUAGUUCUAGUAAGCUUGCACUAAAUUAUUAGAUUAAAGCUUUUGUGACAUAGCUAGUCAGACUCAGAGAAUAAUUAAGAAUAUAAAUUUGGCAAAUGAUGACAGAUUUACAAUACCAUUGUCUUCUUAACCUAGAUUAGAAAUUGUAGAACAUUCCAAAUUUCCAUUAACAAUUAGGAGAGAGAGAGAGAGAGAGAGAGAGAGAGAGAGAUUGUUCAAAAUUAAGAAACUGAAUAGCUUAAAAGCCGGUUGAAAGAUGAUGAUUAGAGAAUAAUAGUAUUGUAUGAGAGUGAGUGAAGUUAAGAGGAUUUGUCGACUAGAACAGUCAGAAGAGCACUGAGUUUGAUAUUGGUUUUUUGGUGUUGGAGUGGAGAGGAAGGAGGGACAUUCUCUAUGGCUUUCUUGCACGCGCAGUCUCCGAUAUGAGAAGUAGAGUAGUCUGAUAAAGAAAAAGUUUAGGUCGGUGCACGGGCUAGAGUCCAAUGCUCACCCACCAAAUUUGCCUUUUCCAUCAAUCUAAGCUCUCUACUUCCUCCACAAAAUAUAUUAGGUAUUUCAACCCCUCACCGGCUUGAACAUCGAUCUAGCUAGCUAGCACCCUUUUUUUUUUCAUCGACUGAUGGGGCUUGCUUGUAAGAAAAUGCUCAGAACAAAUACGAGUUCCUGAAGCUGCGAUUGAUUCUAUAAGAAAAUGCUCACACGUACAUAACUGUUAGGUCCCCUACCAUUUCUACAUUUCAGAAUCUAAGCUCGCUUUAUCACCUUUCGGCACAUGCAAUUCUCUCCUUGGUCUCUUAUGAACCAUAACCACUGUUUCUCUUCAAUUCCAUUCCAAUGAUAUCGGUUUAACAUAUGUAAUGCCUUAAGAUGUGUUUGUGGAUCUCUUCCCUAAAGUUUUAGCUUUUAAAGGUGGAAUGGUUAUCACAUAUCUAACUUGUUGGUAUAAGAUUUACUUAUAAAUAUGUAUGCGGAAUUAUAAGUAUGGAGAGAGGAUGAGAAGCGGACGUCGGCACUCGGCUUAAAGUGCGGACGUCGAGUGCGGACGUCCGUCCGUUCUCCACCCUCCGGCGCCGGCGACGGCGCGCCUCCACCCCAUAACACUCCAGCAGCGUCCCCGACCACUUUCCCUCCCCGGCGAGUCUGUUUUUUUCCAGUUUCCGGCGAGAUCGAAUUUGUUUGAAGUUUUGGGUGAUCUCGCCGAAAAACUGGAAAAGAACGGACUCGCCGGGGAGAGAAAGUGGUCAGGGACGCUGCUGGAGUGUUCUGGGGUGGAGGCGCGCCGUCGCUAUCGCCGGUGCCGGAGGGUGGAGAACGGACGGACAUCCGCACUUUAAGGCCGGUGCGGACGUUCGCUCCACAUCCGGCCUGUAUAAGUACAUAUUCAAGACAAGAACACAUAUACGAUGUAUAUACAAGAGUGAAAUGCUAACCUGAAUAAGACAUAUCUGAUCUUCUCCUCUGAACAAUCGACUAAAGGCAAUCUCCACUUAUGGGGCUGAGAACUUGAAUGCUUGGGGUGAUUGUUAGAGCAGGGAUCAAGGUCAAUAUAUAGACAUUGAGGAUUAGGUGCCUCCCAUAAAGGUUUCCUAAUCCUUCUACAUUAAGGCCAACCUUUUUCCUGUUCCAUAUGCAAAUAGGUAUACUUCAUUACCUAAUAAGUAAACCUUACAAAUCAGUACUGAUACUAACAGGAAAUUAAUCAUGAGUCUGAUGAAGGCAAGAAAUGUCUUACUUAUUGCUUAUUUUGUAAUUAUGUAGCUUAGUUAUUGAUACUUAGUGAAUCAUUGAUAUUUGAUAGUCCACAUUAAGUCUUACAGUUGGUACUAGAGUGGGUUUGAUUCCGAUCGAGACUUUCGGUUCUCCUUUCUCAGUUAUUGGUUAAGUGAGUUUGAAUAAGGAAGUUGGUGUAUGUUUACAUUGUAUGCAUGGUCGUUGUACUAAUAAUACUAGCUAGCUCGUCGCACUCUUGCAGUAAUCUGAGAUCCUCUCAAAGUUCCUCCAUUAGAAAUAUUGAUGGGAAUUUUGGAAGGUCUGAACUUUGAAGUAACCCGCUCCUCAACAGGGGCGGAACCAUGUUACGGUUCGAAGGGGUUCGGACCCCCCCUGAUGUUUUGGCAGAUGAUCGAUUCUCAUGUGAAAUUAUUGAUAUUUAAUUCAUUUGAUCAACUAUAUAUAAGUAACUAAUUAACCGGCGUUGGUUCUUAAUCAAAAACUAACCAUUAGUUGGUUAGAUUAAUAGAAGGAAAUAUAUAAUCACUAUAGUUAGGCCGUGGUAAUUAAUGGUUUUUGCUUCUUUUUUUUUCUUUACAAAUAUGAUUUUAGCUUGGAAUGAAAGAAAAUUUUACGUUAAUUUUGUACGAGAAAUUUUAUUCACACACCUCAAAAUACUAGAUACACAUAUCUUUUAUCACAUAAUUUAUACAAGAUUUUGUGGUUACGUAAAAUUACUAAAAGAGACAUUCAUAUUGGGGAAAAUGUCUAUUUAAUACUAAUUGUAACCCUUCAUUGCCCAUUUCAAUGACAAUCUUUUCUAUGAGCCCAUUUGAAUAAAAGUAAACUUUUUUUAUGCCCAAAUGGCCAAAUCUUUACUAAGGUCUCCACAAACUAUAUUAUUUUAAGACUAUUUUGCUCCUACCUCUUCAACAUGAAAAGACUUGGCCAGAACCUCGGACUCCGGUCACCGGCAGCUAGACUCCGAUCACCGGCCGUUGGACUCCGGUGACCGGCCGCCGGACUCCGGUGACCGGAAUUUUCCCGACCUCCGGACUCCACUCACCGGAAUUUCCCCGACAGCCGGACUCUGGUCACCGGAAUUUCCCCAGUAACCCUAGUUACUGACCAGUUACUGACACCUAGUAACCAGUUACUGACCCCCAGUAACCAGUUCUUGAAACCUAGUAACCAUUUACUAAAAUGCCCAAAUGCCCAAAAACGGCUAAAACAAUGCCCAAUCUAAUGAAAAAAAAAUUUCAUUGCCCAUAUCAAUGAUUCUUAACAAAAAGACAUUUUCACCCUUUUUAGUAAUAACACCACCUCGUUUUUUUACAUAUCAAAAUUCAACUCUCUCUUCUCUUUCUCUUUCUCUUUCUCUUUCUCCUCUCUCCUCUCUCUCUCCUCUCUCAGAUGUGAUCUGAAUCCACUUGNNNNNNNNNNNNNNNNNNNNAACACACACACACACACACACACACACACUCUCUCUCUCUCUCUCUCUCUCUCUCUCUCUCUCUCCUUCCAACGCCGUCGUCUCUCCUCCACGCUCCGAUGCCUCAUCUCCGGCGUCGACGGCGGUGGCGUCUCCGACGAGUUCGUCUCCACUCGGAAGUCCAACCUUGACCGCUGAUUCUCCGUCAUCGCCAACAUGCUCAAGUGGAUUGAGCCGCUUGACAGCUCCGUCAUCUCCAAAGGCGUAUCGGAUUCCGCUAAGGACUCGAUGAAGCAGACCAUCUCUACUAUGCUGGGGCUGCUUCUGUCCGAUCAGUUCUCCGUCACCGUUAAGGUUUCUAGAGCUUCGUUCGAUCGCCUCAUUGCCUCUUCCAUUAUCACCGGGUAUUGAUUGUGAUAGAUGAGCAAAUUGGUUUAGUCUAUUUUUGGGUUAUAACUUGCUGAAGUAGAGAAUUUUGUAUUGGAACUAUGUUUGUAUGUGUUUUGAAUGAUUAUUGGGGGUCAUUAAAAGUCAUUGGGAGUUGGUAAUUUUUUUUAAGGUUUCUUUUUUGUUAGAAUCACCUUCUACUUAUUCUUCUUCUACUAUCUUCUUCGUUCUUCUGUGUUUUUAUUGAUUAUUGGGGAUAGUAACCCGAUUAUUAGGGGUUAGUAAUUUGAUUAUUAAGGUUAAUAACUUGAUUAUUUUCUAGUAUUUUUUCUGUUCUAUUACAUUAAGAUGAAAUAAGUAGAUUAUUGUGGGUCAGUAACUAAUUAUUGAGGAUUAGUAACUCAGUUACUGGGGGUCAGUAACUGGUUACUGGGUGUCAGUAUCUGGCCAGUAACUGGUCAGUAACUAGUUACUGGAUGUCAGUAACUGGUCAGUAACUAGUUAUUGGGGGCCAGUAACUAGUUACAGGGAAAAUUUCGGCGACCGGAGUCCGGCGGUUGAGAAAAUUCCGGUGACCGGAGUCCGGCGGCCGGUGACCAGAGUCCGGUGAGAUUCCGGCCAAGUAUUCUCUCUUUCAUUUUCUCUCUCUAUACAUGUUUAAGGGGUGAGGGUAAAAUAGUCUUAAAAUAAUAUAGUUUGUUAAGACUUUAGUAAAGAUUUGUGCAUUUGGUCAUAAAGAUUUGUGUAUUUGGGCAUAAAAAAGAUUACCUUAUAUUGAAAUGGGCUAAUGAAAAAGAUUGUUAUUGGAAUGGGAAAUAAGAGGUUUAAAUUAGUACUAAAUAUGCAUUUUCCCUAAAAGUAAAGAAACGUAGUUAAAAUUGAAUAUCCCGCUUACGGGUUUUCUUCUCUCUACGAUGGUAUUAUAAUUCUUUUCUGGUAAGGAAGAACUAGAGAUCCAGUUCAUAGAGAUGCUAGAAAUUCAGUGCUUGUGACACAGUACGGAAACUCAAUGCUUGUGACCUCUACGAGAUUGCUAUUCUAAAUUUUCACAAGCAUCAAAGACACAUUGGCCUAUAGCAAGUUUUUUCGAGAAGUACAACCUGGAAGGAGGAGAUGUAGUACAAUAUAUCUACCACGAAGAAGCUGAGUUUUCAAAGAAGAUUCAUAAAGCAAAUGGAAU